This 60496-nucleotide long non-coding RNA is filed under the name Amborella trichopoda. RNAcentral's name for it is "long non-coding RNA (ATRI_LNC001552)". Lineage: Eukaryota; Viridiplantae; Streptophyta; Magnoliopsida; Amborellales; Amborellaceae. The record is from RNAcentral.
AACUUCCCAACUUUUCUCUCUCCCCUUUGUGAUCGCUCUCUUUUCUCUCUCUCUCCUCCUUGUACGGAUCUUUAUCUUAGAAAAGACUAAUCCCUCUCUCCAUCUUUUUACAAUGGAAGCGACCGACCUGUACUGAAAACUCCCUCUCUUCUCCAAUGAAAGGGACUAUACUUUAAAUUAUUGCCACCUGCUAGGAUAAGCCUAUCAUCUCUUCCAAAAAACGAAGGGAAAAUAUGGCUAUCACACAUUGGACACAAAAAUUCAGCUAAGAAUACCUGUUAGACAGAAAAAGACAGAUUGCCACUUAUCCGUCACGCCCUUUCUUAUUUUGGUUUGGUUUUCUAUCCUCUCUCUCUCUUCCAUUUUCAACUUGGUUUUACUCUUUCGCUCUCCUCUACUUUCAACUUGGUUUCUCUCUUCUCUCUCUUCAACUUGGUUCUGCUCUCUCUCUCUCUCUCUUCCAUUUUCAAUUUGGUUUUACUCUCUUUCCUCUACUUUCAACUUGGUUUUACUCUCUCUUCAACUUGGUUUUGCUCUCUCNNNNNNNNNNNNNNNNNNNNNNNNNNNNNNNNNNNNNNNNNNNNNNNNNNNNNNNNNNNNNNNNNNNNNNNNNNNNNNNNNNNNNNNNNNNNNNNNNNNNNNNNNNNNNNNNNNNNNNNNNNNNNNNNNNNNNNNNNNNNNNNNNNNNNNNNNNNNNNNNNNNNNNNNNNNNNNNNNNNNNNNNNNNNNNNNNNNNNNNNNNNNNNNNNNNNNNNNNNNNNNNNNNNNNNNNNNNNNNNNNNNNNNNNNNNNNNNNNNNNNNNNNNNNNNNNNNNNNNNNNNNNNNNNNNNNNNNNNNNNNNNNNNNNNNNNNNNNNNNNNNNNNNNNNNNNNNNNNNNNNNNNNNNNNNNNNNNNNNNNNNNNNNNNNNNNNNNNNNNNNNNNNNNNNNNNNNNNNNNNNNNNNNNNNNNNNNNNNNNNNNNNNNNNNNNNNNNNNNNNNNNNNNNNNNNNNNNNNNNNNNNNNNNNNNNNNNNNNNNNNNNNNNNNNNNNNNNNNNNNNNNNNNNNNNNNNNNNNNNNNNNNNNNNNNNNNNNNNNNNNNNNNNNNNNNNNNNNNNNNNNNNNNNNNNNNNNNNNNNNNNNNNNNNNNNNNNNNNNNNNNNNNNNNNNNNNNNNNNNNNNNNNNNNNNNNNNNNNNNNNNNNNNNNNNNNNNNNNNNNNNNNNNNNNNNNNNNNNNNNNNNNNNNNNNNNNNNNNNNNNNNNNNNNNNNNNNNNNNNNNNNNNNNNNNNNNNNNNNNNNNNNNNNNNNNNNNNNNNNNNNNNNNNNNNNNNNNNNNNNNNNNNNNNNNNNNNNNNNNNNNNNNNNNNNNNNNNNNNNNNNNNNNNNNNNNNNNNNNNNNNNNNNNNNNNNNNNNNNNNNNNNNNNNNNNNNNNNNNNNNNNNNNNNNNNNNNNNNNNNNNNNNNNNNNNNNNNNNNNNNNNUAUAUAUAUAUAUAUAUAUAUAUAUAUAUAUAUAUAUAAAAGCUCCCUUCAGCCCAUGGGCUCAUGGAACAGUGUAAGCCCAACGGCCCAGAUUGAAUCUGGACUGAUCCAAUGAUCACAAUUGUAUUCUAGUAAUUGGAUUUUAAUUUUUUUUCUACAAAUCUAAAUUAUUUGAAAUUUGGAGCGUUUAUUAUUCAAGAAUAGUUGAAUCUAAUAAAAAUAUCAAAAAAAUAAUUCACAUAAAUUAAAUUCACCAAAAUACGCCCAAAAUUUUUUGGAGGUAUUUAAGUUAAUUUAUUUUAUGUAAAUUAUUUUUUAAUAUUUUUUUACGUGCACCUUUAUGAGAAGAGUUUAUGCUCCAAAUUUUAUAUUCAUAUGAUUUGUAUAAAAAAAACUAAAAAUAAAAUACAUUGAGAUGUCGGAUCUAAGAUCAAACAGCGAGUGGCUCUCUUCAUCAAAAUUGGAUGGCUGGAUGGUAGGGGAAGCAUAGAUCUUCUAUGAUGUAAGAGAAGUAUAGAAACCUUUCCAUAUAUAUAUAUAUAUAUAUAUAUAUGGAUAUGGUGCUCCAUCAUCUAAGAGAGAGCUACACUGCAAGUUCAAUUCAGUUUCUAUAUUAUUAUUAUUUUUACUGGGUGUUGUUUGCAUAAGGUUGCAACCUUAAACAAUUAAUUUAAGGUGCACCUCCAAACUUUGUCACGAGAUUCAAUUUUCGUGUCGAAAAUUUUAGGAUAUUGUGAGAAUCUAUUUUUAUCUCUAAUUACAAAAUUUUAAAUCUAAAAAAUGGUUCAAAUCAAGUAGAUCUAUAAACGCAUGAAGAUCUUCAAAAUAGGCGGUCUUGAUAAUGUGUUACAAGACGUACUAUUUUUACGACUUGAAAUCUUUUUUUUUUCUCCAUAUCCACAUAUCGCGAUGUCGAAAUGAUCAUUUUGAUGUUUUCCCAACAUCAAUACAACCUUUCCUUGUACCUUAAUUCUACAUUUUAAAGUGUCAACCUUAUAUAAUUUUUUUUUUUUUUAAUGGAAAAUGUCCUUGCUGUGCUUCUCUCUCUGGUGUUCCAUCUUUUAGGAGAGCUACAUUUCAAUUCCACUUCAAUUUCUAGUUUUUCUUUAUUCAUGGAGAAUACCUUGAAUGUGAAAAAUAAAAGGAAAGUUUGGUAUUAAACAAGUCAUGCUUACAAUGCAUCAACUCUUGAAUUCUUAUCUCUCUCUCUCUCCAGGUGGAGUUUAAUAUCUGGAAGGCUCCCAAAUAGACAAGCAGCAGAAGUGGAGAGGUACUGGAUGAUGAGAAAGAAACAAAAAGAGUUGGGCAAAAGAAUCUUCAAGCCAAUUUGUCAUAGACUGAGGCCUCCUCCAAGAAAGGGUUAAAGAGACAUGGUUUAAAAUAAUAAAGACUUGGUGGUUCCCAAGCAAUGGUGGCUUUUCUGUUGUUCUUGUUUCUCUAUGAGAGUCUUCUGAUCUCAGUGCUUGGAAAAACCUGGUUUAUAAAUUCUCCAAGUCUUUUAACUUUCAUUUAAACCUCUCUCUCAAUUACUAUAAAUUACUAGCAUUUCACACUAAAAUCCAAAUAUAAGCUACAUUUUGAAAGGUUAAGACCUAUGUAACAUGAACAUCUGCAUCUAUCGUUUUGGCACAUAGCAUACAAUGUGCAACAGCUGUGUCAGAUGCUUGACAAAUUUAAAAACUUUUUUCUUUAUCAAUGGCACAACCACUCACACUCACACAGGUUUGUGAGUGUUGCAGGUGUCUAAUGUAGUGACCUUAAAAACUAAUACAACUAAACACAUAUAUACAUGAAACACAUAUGCCAGACUUGUGUAGUGGAUAUUAAAAAUAAUUUUUAAUGUGCAACAGCUGUGUCAGAUACUUGACAAAUUUAAAAACUUUUUUCUUUAUCAAUGGCACAACCACUCACACUCACACAGGUUUGUGAGUGUUGCAGGUGUCUAAUGUAGUGACCUUAAAAACUAAUACAACUAAACACAUAUAUACAUGAAACACAUAUGCCAGACUUGUGUAGUGGGGUGCACCUACAAAAAAAUAUUAAAAAUAAAUUUUGAUAAAAUAUAAUAAUCAAAAUACCCCUUGAAACGGUUAACGGUAUUUUGAUCAUUUUAUUUUAUUAAGAAUAUUUUUUUGGUAUAUUUUUAACAUAUACAGAUUUAAUAGAGGAUUGGACACCCAAAAUUUGGUUUUAAAAUAUUUUAUAUAAAAAAAUAAAAAUAAAAUAAUAUAGAGAUAUGACAUUGUGAUUGAGACCUUAACUCUCCAUUCAGAAUGGAUGGUUAGAUAAAGGGUUGUACAUAGGUUUUAUGCUGAAGGAGAAGCAUAGAAAACAUGCCCUUCCUUUAUUGAGAUGCAACACACAGUUUUAGGGGUACAAGUUUCCGACUCUCUAAUCCAUUAGUAUACCAAUAAUGUAAAUUCACAGCACACCAAACCCCUCUCUCUCUCAAUUACACUGAACACACCGAACCUAUCUCUCUCAUACAAACAUACAUUCUGAACAAGAGAGAACUUUUACUAAUAACUAGGGGAGGCAACGGGUGGGCCAGGCCCUGCCCAGCCCAAGAAAACUAGAACCUAUGCCAUUAAAUGUAGCCUGAGUGUAGGCUUGGGACAGGAUUGGGCCAGGGCAGGCCUAGCCCGACCUUUUUUUCCUCUAUACUUUUCCUUUAUUUUUCUUUAAUUUUAUUUGGUCAGGUCAAAGUCGGGCUAGGCUUCAACCAACCCUAUGAGGACUAGGGCCACGAUAAAACCAUGGGUGGCCCGGCUGAGGCCCCACCCCCACAAUCCACCAACCUACCCCUACCCAUUGCCAGCCCCACAAUCCACCAACCUACCCCCACCCCACAAAAAAAAACAAAAAGAAAGAAAAAGGAAAAAGAAAACAAUCCCAUUGUCUUGUGUAUGUUUUUUUUUUUAUUUCAAAUCUCUAUUAACCAAAUAUCAACCCUCACCCAACUGCCAACCUCUUAAAUGAAAUCCUCAUCUUUUCCAGAAAAGAGGUGAAUUUUCUAGCCAAUUUUUCAAAAGAAGGCUCACUUUCCACCAAAUUAUGAAUAGGAAGACCACAUUUCCAACCACAUUACACUUAGCCUCCACUUAUAGGUGGAAUGAUGGCCAAUUCAUCUCCAUUAUUCAAAAUGGUAUUCCCUGGUGCAUAUUCCUUAUUGAGAGCCAAAGCCAUAGAAUCCUUUAUCUCUCUCAAGCUUGGGAACUUGGAGAAGAGCUCGGCUACACAGUCGAGGGUGGUGCACCCGGGCUUGACCGACACAACUGUGUUGGUAAAGCCAGUUAGGUCUCGGGCCCUAGCAAAAAAUAGGACCUUGAUCUCAAUGGAAGGGAGGCUUUUAAGCUUACCUUUUUCAUCCUUGAUUUCUCUUUCUUGUGUCUCUUUGUCUGUGGUCAUGGUAAUAUCCUCCAUGAUCGGUUUCGAAACUAUGGUUAGGUGCUGAAACAGAAAGGUACGGUCAGAUUCAAAAUUAUCAGGUUGAUUACAGUGACCUCAUGUGUCUGAAGUUAGAGAUAAAUCAAUCUAUAAGAGCAGAACGACAGAACAGUUCGGAGUACAGAAUGUUUUUAAAUCCAUCUCAACUUAUGUAUUCUGCAGCGAGACCCAUUCAUAGGAAAAACAAAAUGAAGAUGAAAAACAACCAUCUCUCUCUCACACACACACCAGGCAUGGUGAUGCAUGACUAGGAAAUUUUUCACUCCAAAAAGGAGAUGAGCACAAGCAAGCAUACGCUCGUGCAGCCACAUCUUCAUACUAGCACGAAACGAAAAUGUUCUCUCACAACAGAACACACGAACACACACACACACACAACUCAAGCAGUGGUCCCAUACUCAGAAUGAAUAGGUCAUUUCUCACUCUAGAAAAGAUGCAAAACACAUAGCAGUCAUGGGGCCUGGGUAAACAUGAGGUGACUGUUUCCCGCUUAGGUAGACCCAAAAACACACACAGACAUCAACAUUAAAGACAAAUAAGAGAUUGCUUCUAAUUCUAAAAAGGACACAUAGGGCCAGCAAGUGCCCAACCCAAUAGAUGUAAAAUUCGAUAGCUCUGUUGUAUUAUUUCUCCAUUCAAAGUCAGAGGGAAAUAUUUCAGGAUUUUAAGGGCAAUUAAUGGUACACUUUGAAUUUUCGCUUUCACAUUCAUUAACUGAUCGUGACCUUUUUGCACAGAAGACAAAUAGCCCUAUACUGUACUUUCUUGUCCAAAGCAGUUGCUUGUGAAAUUCAUACAGGUUUUAAUAAUGCCUAAUUAGCUGCAGAAAAUAGCAAUUUUUUCUAAAAUCUAGAGAGCAACACUAAUUCAAUGGUCUAAUUAUUCCUUAAAAGAGGGUUAACAAGGCUUAUGACUGUCGGAUUGAUACCCUACUCUUAAUUCUUAAACGACUUCCUCCAAAGAAAACAAAACCCAUAUCAUUUGGAAAACCUAAAUCUGAAGGAUUUCCAAAAAAUAAACAAAGGAAAUCACAAAUAAAGAUACUUUAAUUUUUUUUUUAAAAAAAAUCAGUUAUGAGUAUCUUCCAUAAAAGAAAUUGAUUAUGAAUAUAUUAACAUAGAGUCCCUAAUCUCCCUAAUCUGACCAUUAUUAUCCAUAACAGCUCACUUCAACAAGAAGAAAAAGUACGCCUAAGAGCCCCAGUUUCAAAGACCUAAGUCCUAAAAAACCCAAAUUUCAAGCAACCUACAUCCUCAAAAAUUGCCAAUUAAAAGAUCAGUAACACUAAAUAACCAAAUCACAAAACUCACCACCCAUAUGAGCCCUAAUUUGGAAGAACCAAUUUCUAAAAACCUCUAAUACUAUUAAUCCUAAUUCUCCACACCCAGUUUCAAAAAAACUCUAAUAGGAAUAUUUCUAACAUUAUACACUGAUUAAAAGCCUUAUUGUAAGAACCACAGACAUGAAUCUUCUUAUUCCUAAUCCAGGAAACUCUGGCCCCAAAAGGCCUAAUUCAAAAAUAAAAAACCCCACAAAAUGAAGGGGUAAGCCCUAAAACAAUAACAUUUUUGAAAAUAUAUGAAGAGUAAAUUUUAGAGGUAAUUUUACAUGCCUUAUUGGGUUAAAUUGUGGGGUCUAAUUUUUAAGUCUGACUGCACUGAGUUCUUUGAUGAAAAUGUCAAGCACAGGGGAUACAUUCUGAUUCUAAUUCACGUUUUCCAUAUUUUCUGUUCUUUAGGAAAUUACUGGAAGGGGCCAGUCUUUCAUCUGAGUGACCAGAUAAUCCGGACUAUCCUAAUCCCAUGUGGGGGAGAAAUAAGUUAAUAUUAUUAGUAAAUUUGAAGGUCAUUAGGGCAAUUUUUCGUGGUUAAGAGAGAGAAAUGCUACCUUAAUUGGUGCAAGUUUGGGAUUUUAUGUUUAAGGCUGUGUUUUGGUAUAAGGAGGUUACUCUCACUCAUAAUUAUCAUAAAUUUUAAAGAGGUGCACCUAAGAAACCCAUUAGAAAAGGUCGUUUCUAUGCUAGAAAACACUCAAAUCGAUCAUCUCAACUCAGAUAUUCAUAGAGUUGAAAAAAUGGGAUUUUCUAGUCCUAAAAAUAAUUCAUCUUCUAACACAUUAUUAGAACCAUCCAUUUUAAAGUGUUUAUAGAUUUGCUUGAUCGUCACAUUUUUUUUAAUUUUAAUUUUCAUAAUUAAAAACAUCAAUAGAUUUUCAUAUCAUCGCAAGGUUUUGUGGCACCAAAAUUGCAUUUUCGGCAUAGUUUUGAGGUGCACAUUACUUCAAUAAUAUAAGGUCGACACUUUAUACAAACCUCACCCUCAAUAUAAACCAUCAUAUUCUAAAUGGUGUGGUUUUUAUAAGGUUGCAGCCUUAAACAAUCCAAUUAAAGCGUACCUUCAAAUUUCACCAUAGCAUGUAAUUUGGUUGUAAAAAAUUCUUAGGAUUAUCUGAAAAUCUAUUUUUAUGUCUAAUUAUAAAAUUUUAAAGUCCAAAAAUGGUUAAAACCAAGUAGACCUAUAAAUCUUGAAAAUGGACGGUCUAGAUAAUGUGUUGCAAGAUGUACUAUUUUUGGGAUUCAAAAUCUUUUCUUUUUCUUCAUAUUAAUACAUUUCUAUGUCGAGAUGAUCAAUUAAAGGGUUUUUCAGCAUUAAAACAACCUUUCUCAUGGAUUUUUUAGGUGCAUUUGAAAUUCUAUAUUUUAAGGUUACACCCUUAUAUAAACUUUUUCCUAUCCUAAAAAUGGGAAGGUAUUUUGUAGCCUGACGUUCUAUAAGGAAAAUAUUUUGUAGCCAGACGUUCUAUAAGGCCGCAUCUCGAAUAUUGCAAUAAAAUAUACUUUUGUAGUGAGAAAAAAUACAUAUCGAUCAUCUGGACAAAUAUAAAUUAAAAAAAGAGAGAUCAAGCUCUAAAAAUGAUCUUAAAUAAUUCAUUUGAAGUGCCUCAUAUCAUUCAUAUUUGCACCAUUUUUUAUCUUCAAAAUUUCAUAGACAAUAGCACAAAUCAAUUUGCAAGCUAUUUCACAAAUGCCGAAAUUGCAUUUUCUGAUAGGGUUUUGGGAAUUGGCUUUACUAUAUAUUAAGGAAAAGUCGUUCAUGAGUCCCUCGGUGCAAGAGUGCACUAACUCACCAACUUGUAAAAAACACUCACAGGGCUUAUACAGUGUAGAAAUUAAAAUACUAAUAAUAAUCAUAAGUUUAUAUUUUUUUGAGAAAGUUAUAUAUAUAUAUAUAUAUCCAUUUUUUCGUUAUUACAUAAAUGCGAGAAAAUUUUCUUUAUUACAUGGAUUCCCAUUUUCUCCUCUUCAUAACAAUAUUUUAGAAAACUGAUGAAACUAUCAUUUUCAAUUUUUCAAUAAUUAAAAAAUUCAAAUUUUCAGAUAUUGAAGAAACCAAAUUAUUAUAUUUUCGAUUUUUAAAAAUUAAAAUUCCUACAUAUUUACUAUUUCAAAAACCGAAAAAUCGAAAUUGUGUUCAAUGCUUCAAGUACUGAAAAUCUCCAUCUUCUUCCUCCCACCAGAAACCGUAAUCGAAUAGACUUUGAAAAACCAUAUUGUCAUGAAUACAAUGGUGAAAUGCUUCUUGAGAUUCGUCAUAUUUUGGGGGGUUCCAACUUCUAUCAUUGUCGAUCAUUUCAUUGUACGAUUUAACACCAUACUUUUCCAAACCCUAUUCUCACCGCAGUCAUUUAAAUGGAUAGUACUAACAUUAUAAUUUUUUUGAAAAAGUAUAUAAUGAGUUUAUUUAUCUUUGGUAGAAUGUUAUAGUAAGUAAUGUAAAAUUCGAUGAUUGCAUUUAUUCUAUUAAUCAAGCUCAAACUUCAAAAGAAUUUUUUUUUGAAUUUUAUAAGAUACCCAAUCUAUCAUAUUUCAUAUUAGAUAGUUGUAUCAAAGGUAAUUGAUCUCAUUUUAUACAAUCCCUAUUUUUUUUUGUGGUCCAUUGAUAUCUAAUAGUUGGCUUUAUCGAAAGUGAUUCAUCCCUCCUAGUUCAAGUCUUAUGUAGGCACUGUAGAUCUCCAUAUGUGCUUCAUAUUAUUGCCUCCAAUUGUCGAUUUAGACUUGCAAAUCAUUCAUGGUUGAUUUGUCAUAUUUAUCAUAAAGCAAAUAUCUCGACAAACUUAUUUGCUAAAAAAGGUCACAAUUUUUUUCAAAUACCACUAUUAGGGGCUCUAGGCCUCCAGAUUUUAAUUCUCUUCCUUUAGUUAAUGAUGUUUGUAUAAUUGUCCUAGUAGGAUUGUAAAAUAAUGAGUUGUAAUACGUUUUUAUUUUUAUUAAUGAAAAGCAUAUAGGGAGCCUUCUCUCUACUGAUUUAUCCAAAAAAAGAGGGAUACAAGCACAUGAAAUAGGGGUUUCUGGUGGGAGGAGGAAGAGGGGGGUUUUCGGUACUUGAAGUACCGGAAACAAUUUCAAUUCUUGAAAUGCUGAAUAUAUAAAAAUUUUGGUUUUUUUUAAAAUAAAAAAUAUAAUAAUUUUGGUUCAAAUUGAAUUCUUUAGUUAUUGAAAAACUAAAAAGAAUAGUUUUGUCUUUUUUAAAAUAUUGUUAUGAAGGGGAAAAAACGGGUAAUAUGAAAACUUAUUGGUAAUUCUAUAAUAAUAUUAUAUAUNNNNNNNNNNNNNNNNNNNNACGUGGUGUGUGCGUGUGUGUGAUUUUAUCUUUUUUUUUUCAUAUCCAUAAUAUCAUAACCUAAAUCAUUAAUCCCGAAAAUUUAAUAUUAAAAUUCCAUUUUUAAAAUGGUUUAAUGGGCCCGCAUUGUAGCAUUAUAAUGCCACGCAUUAUUAAGCAAUGGAAACCCCAUCUGUAUUAUAAUGCCACGCAUUAUUGAUGCCACACACUUUAAAAAUUGAUCCUUUAAAAAUUGAUUAUUAUGUUGAUCUUAUCUAAGUCCCAAUACUGAGCUGACGCCCUAGGGCCCAUGUGGAUCUCAAGAUUAUUGUUUUUUUUCUUAAGACUGCAAGCUUGGCCAUUUUUAAGACAUUAUACUUUUAUUUAUUGAGGCUAAAAUAUUUUGUGAUCUUGUGAAAAGCAAGUUAUUUACUUACUCCCUUGGGUAAAAUAUAAUAUAAGAAUAUUUUUUAGACCGUGAUGUAACUUCUUCAAGUCAAGAGAGUAAUUAACCUCGGCAGGAAAAAAACGAAGAAGGAAUCAAGUGUGCUUUAGAAAAUAACAUCUCAAAGCAGAAGGGGAGAUCCAUGUGUUAAAAAACUCAAAAUAAAAAAAUAAAAAAAUAAAAAUAAUCAUAUUCUUGAUUAUUCAGUGGUUUACAAAAUUUCUAAUCGAAAAAGUCCUACCGAGCCCAAAGGUGUAUAUGCACAAUAUGCUCUUAAGAUAAUGCGCAUAUGUGGAAGUGCUCCACAAUGUGUAGUCGUAAGGUUUUUUUUACGGGCAAGCUUUCCGUACUUUCCCUACAGCAUAGAAGUUCUAUCCUCCCCUUAUCCAACCGCUCAUUUUGAAUGAAGGGCUAAGAUUGUCCAAAUCACAAUGUCAUAUCUCUACAUUAUUUUAUUUUUAAUUUUUUUUUAUAAACUAUUUUGACACCAAAUUUUGGACAUCCAUUCCUCUAUUAAACUCGCAGUAGCGAAAAAUAUAAAAAAAACAAUAUUUUCAAUAAAAUAAAUGAUCAAAAUACCCCUUCAAAUUUCAGGGGGUAUUUUAGUCAUUAUAUUUUAUCGAAAAAUUAAUUUUAAUAUUUUUUAUAAGUGCGCCCCAAUGAGAAGAUGUUCAUAUUCAUACAAUUUGUAUAUAAAAAACUAAAAAUAAAAUACUUUAAGAUGUCGGAUCUAGGAUCAAACGGUGAGUGGCUCUCUUGAUCAAAAUUGGAUGGCUGGAUGGUAGGGGGAGGACAGACCUUCUAUGUUGUAGGGGAAGCAUAGAAACCUCUCUUUUUUUUAGAAGUGGUCAUAGAAUUCCAAAAUAGUGUUAAUAAAUGUUAAAGGAAAUUUAUCAAAAUAUACUUUUGAAUUAACUGCCAAGCCCAUAAGAUUGGGAGGAUGAUGAUGACGGCUUAAAAUUAUUAACUAUUUAAUGUAUUACCCCAUAUAUCUUGAUUUAAUUUCAAAACACCCAUCAAAAUAUACAUAAUUUUUUAGUUAGAAUAGUAGAAAAAUACAAAAUGAUAAAUAGUUGAAAAAUGAGGAAUAUUUUGACGAACUUUCCGAAUGUUAAUUAUGUUAGUGUUAAAAGGGCCAGCAUAGACAUACACAUGAGAGAAUAGUAGAAAAAUAGAAAAUGAUAAAUAGUUGAAAAAUGAGGAAUAUUUUGAUGAACUUUCCAAAUGUUAAUUAUGUUAGUGUUGGAAGGGCCAGCAUAUACAUACACCUGCGACAAUAGAGAGAGACCAUGGCCACCAUGGCCAAGUCCUUAAAUGUCUAGAGAGAGAUUUUCUUAUUGAAAAAUCCACUUUCAUUUGCUUAUUGAAAAUGGCACUUUGAGAGAGAGAGAUUUCCUUAUUGAAAAUGGCACUUCAGAGACAGAUUUUCUUAUUAAAAUGGCACUUAAAUUGUAGAGAGAGAGAGAAGCACGUAAAGUUUUGCUUCAAAUGAUAAAUGUUUCAUAUAGCAACAAGGGGAAAUUACAUGGAACUAGUUCAAGUAAGACACUUUUUCUUGCAAUAAAAAAUUAAAAAGACGUCAUGAACGAAUCACAUACGUCAUGCUUGACAUCACCAUGACAAUGGAUAUCAUAUUCAAUUGGCUACAUCAAUUUCAAAAGGCCAACCCCAAAACCCUAAUCCUUGACAAUCUCCCAAAACAAUAAAAGGAGAAAAUAAUCAAUUUCCAACCGUAAAUAAAACCAAAUAUACCCACAAUACUAAAUUAAAAAAAAAAAAAUCUCUAAAUCCUAAUCCCCAAACCUAAAGUGUACCCACAACCCUGAAUUCCUGAAAAAACCAUCUAAAUCCCAAGCACUAAACCUAUGAUUUGCUGAUUAGUUCCGAAUUCCAAAAAACCCUAAAAUAUAGGUCUAAAUUCGGAUUUUUUUUAACCCUAAACCCUAAACUCUAAACAAAUAACACUUUUUAAGGCACUGUUCUCUUCCCUGUGUAUGGAUGGCCUAAAUGGUGACCAUGAAGUCUUCCAAGGGCGGACAUCUUAUGGGACUGCCCAGAAAUAACCCCAUAUGUUGAGGGACUUUGGGACAAGACAAUCUCAUAACCAUCGUAGAAAGACUCCAUGCCCUCAGCCAUUAAUUGCCAAAUAAGCCCACCCCCAAUUGUUCCUCCACUUCUGGCUAACUGGUAAAUAUUUCUAUAAAUGGAAUUUAGAAAUGAGUCCCUUGCGCCUAUGUUGUAUCCAGGGUCUUUCUUGGACUUUCCAAAUUCAGCAAAAACCAAGGGUUUUUUCAGAACUCUCUUUGAAUCUCUCCAAUGACUUUGCAUCCACCUUUGCAUAAAUGCAAGUUGAGCCUCAUCACUUUGUCCAGAGAGCCUGUAGUUAUGAAAAGUUAAUUAAAUUCAACAUUAUUAUUACAUAACAUAGAAAAAAACUGAAAGAAAAUUUGUAUAAUAUACAUUGAACAAGAAGAGCAUAUAAUAAUGGGCAUGGUUUUUGUACGGCAACACUUUUUUUAUAUUUGGUAAGGCCACACCUAACAACCUUGAUAGCCUGCAAAUCUAUUUUUACUCCUGAUUAUGAAAUUUAAAGCUCCAUAAACCAAACAGACCCAUGGAAUAUGAAGUACCUCGUCUAAAAAAAGUGUUGCAAAACAUACAAUUUUAGAACUUGAAAUCUUUUUUGGCCUUUUUUUUUUUUCUUAGGUCCAUAACUAUAGAGGUCAUAAUGAGUGAUUUAUAAGUUUUCUAGUCUAAGAACUGCAAUUUCAGGUGAAAUUUAAGGUGCAGUUUUAUAAAGCCAGGUCCUACAAAAUACUUUCCCUACCAUAGAUAUAAGAGCUUACCAUAUAUCAGGGUAUGCAUGUAUAGUGGCAAAAUCAACUUCUCUCACCAGGUUAUUGGUUAUAAAAUCAGUGCCAACUUGGUAGCCAGGAUUUAUUGCCUUUUCUUGGGGCAUUGUAUCACCAUAGAAGCCCUCCAUCCCUAUCUCCACCAAAUGGUUCCUAUCUAGUGACUUAACAAAAGCUGCCAUCUCUUGGACCCAUCCCUGAAAAUUUAAACCAAAUAUUAAAAGAAAAUAAGUUAAUUGCCCUCAGCUUAAUAUAGUUAAGUAAAAAGUGUCCUCUUUUUGGAUACAAAGCAAGAGAUGGGUUAUUUUAGAAUACACUACACUAAUAAUGAACCUAGAAUUCAGUACUCCGAAUUUUUUUUACCAGGAAAGAAAAAGAGAGAGAUUUACCGUCAGAGUCCUUCCUGAAUAAUCAGCCUGGCAACGGGGUUCAUUCAUGAGCUCCCAUGCCAUGAUUGUGGGGUCGUCUCUAUAUGCAAUCUUAGUGAUGCUGUUAACUCGUGUUAUCACUCUCUACAUGAAACCAAUCAGAAAAUUUUCUAUAAGAGAUACCAUUUCUUGUUAAUCUCUACAUGAAACCAAUGAGAAAAUUUUUCAUAGGGGAUACCAUUUCUUGUAAAUUUGUGAACUAUAAAGAGAAAGGGAGAGAAAUAUAGGCCUAAAAAAAAAAAGGUAAGAGAGCAAAAGCAGCAAAACUCCUAGUAUUACAACUCAAUGUUAAAAAUCAUCUCAUUAAUUAAAGAUAAAAAAGAAAAAAAAUUACUAAGAAAUACAGAGAAAAUAAUGUGAAAAUUUUAUCCUUGCGGUUUAAACCUCUUCUUUUGUUGCGCAAAACCUUGACCACACGGGUUGAUGAUAAUGUGAAAAACAAAAGUAAAAUAAUGAGAGACAUCAGCCGCAAUAAGCACACAAUAAAAAAGAAAUAGCACAUGAGAAUAUCAAUAUUUAUGUGACUACGUCCACAGGUGAAAAUCACUAUGAGAUCUCUAAACAUACCGGACGGCUCUCCCCAACCCCGUCAAUUACGCCCCCGAGAAAAAACAAGUCUAUUAACAACUGAAAUUACAUCUUAAAUUACACCAAAGAAUUCAAAGCAUAGCUUCCAACACCACUUUUUUAAAAAAAAAAAUAGUUACCUUCACAUGGUUCUUGUAGUAUGUCUUCAAUAAUGGAUUUGUAUAGAAGUCAUCAUCACUUCCAACAUGAGCCCCUGCAUCUCUUGCCCACUUCACAUAUUGAGCUCUCCCUCCAUAGUCAUUGUAAUUGUUUGUGAGGCUCAAAAUUAGGCGAAUCCCAUGCCUUCUUGCCUCCGAUAUUACGAAGUCCAGACCCUAAUGAACAACAAAUGCAUGUUAUUUCCUUAUUUAAAGUAAAAAAGCUAUAUACUCCCGCGGAAACAUAUCGCACAUUCACUGCCUCCAGUAAAAUUGUGUCUAGAAGUACUUUUAUGAUCUUAAAUUAGGGAAUGCAAUCGAUCAUAUUUAAGUGUUUAGGAUCUCCAAGUCCAAUUUUUUUCUUUUGCAAAUACUCAUCUAGUGAUUCUAAUGUGGAAUCCAAAAUUUGACUUCCAAAAAUGCUCUUAAGUAGCUCUUUUGCCUGAGGGAGCUAGUGUACAAUGUGCUCCCGCGGGAAUAUAGUAUACAUCGACAGUAGUUUUGGCGACUAAAUUCAUGUCUGAUUUUGAAACUCCAAAACUCUAACUCAAUGAAGAAAUCUAGAGAGAGAGAGAGAGUAAAAAAUAUACUCCAUGAAAUGCAUGGAUACAAGUAAUGUGAUCACCAAACUCCUUAUGUGCAUAAAUACAUUUGGUCAGUUAGGAACAAAUACAAGUACAAUUUAAGUUGAACUAACACUAACACCUAUUAGUGAAAGUGUAGAAGCCACCCUUAGUGGGUACUAUCAUCUCCACCUUCCGUCGUCGAGAUAAAAGGUGGAGGCUAUAUAUUGUAAUAUUUGACAGUUGAGGAUGAUUGUUAAAUCGUUGUACCAAAGAUAAAUAGUUUUAUAAUAUAUAAUUCCAUCUUGUAUUGCCUGCAACGUUUGUACCUAUAUUUGUAAGUUGAAACAUAAUGUAGGUAUGUAUCUGCAUUUUGUAGAGAGAGAGAGAGAGAGUAAACCUGAAAGACACGUUCAUCGUAGAGACCAGGCGAAAUUUGAAGGGCAUGGUCACCGCCAUCACUAAAUGCCCAUGUCCUACCGACGGUGAGCCCGGCACCCGCCGCCUGCUGCAUCACAGUCGACACCUUGUUUCUCUCACUAGGCUCGGCCGCAACAUGCAUCAUCCAAUAAGAAUUGAACCCAUUAAACAAAAAUGGAGACCCAUUGAGCAUGAACCUUGUGCCAGGGGUCCUAACAAACCCUCUACUACGGUGAAACCUGGCCUCACUAGCUACAACAAAGAGGCUUAGAACACCCCAAAUGUAGAGGACUUUGGUAAGUUUAGCCAUGCUUUUAGGGGGACUUUGGAUGAGUGGAAUUGGGUUAGGGUGAGAAGUGAUUUAUAAGGGAUUAGGGUUUCCAAAAAUAGUAAAAGUUGCAGGAUUAAUGGUGGCUUUCGGUGAGGGAAAAUGGAGGGUAGCUAGAUUUAGAGGAAGUUUUAGCAGAGGUUUGAAUAAAAAGAGGAGAAAUCAUGGAAAAGGGAUGUGGGGGUUGGAUAGGUGAGUUUUGGUACACCAAAAGAGAGAGAGGGAGGAAGUUAGAGGCGCCUCUAAAUUUAGGGGAACAUUUUCGAUGUGGCCUCUUGUGUAUGGAUAUUUGAUGACCUUGUGUAAAGGUAGUUAAAGGAGUUUCCUUAUUGGUGAGGUGGAAACCAUGUGCAUACAUUAGGGGCUCUAGAUAAUACAUCAUUUCAAAAAAAAUAAUAAUAGAAGCACCUUGUAAAGUCUCUCUUAAAAUUUGGGAAAAUUUUUGUCUUCUAUUUCUCCUAGUGGAGAAAAUUUUAGGGCAGCUUUUUGUCAAAAUUGAACUCAAAAGUGACGUUAAUUUCUAAAUGAGUUGAUUCUAAAAAUCAACUCUUCCAUUAUUAUAGCCAGAAUCACUCACAUACGGGUGGUAGACCGGACCUGGACCAGGACCCGGACCUGGACCCGGACCUAGACCCAACCAGGCCUGAAUUCACUGGACCCGAACCCGGACUCGAAAAUAUAGUGUGGGACCGGGACCCGGACCCGACCCAACAAUUAAAAUGCCUUUGUGUUUAACUAUAAUUAAAUAUAUUUCAUAUAUUGGGACCUAAAAAAUAUUACCGGACCCAAUUUGACACCCGGAUGCGAAUAGUGUGGGUCCAAGAUUUGGACAUGAACCCGACUCACUGGAUCCAAUUUUUGGACCCAUACUCCAAUCCAACCCUAGGGUCCCAGGUCAGGUCUGGAUCCAUUGCCAUCCCUGCACUCACACACACUCUCUCUGUUCCUUUUCUUCAGGAUUGGUCGACAUUCUUCCCCUUAUGCCCAAGUGAGUGUGUGUUUAUGAAUGUGUCUGUGCAAGUCGACCCUUGCUAAUUCGGUCCGGAAUUGGGAGGUGGACUAAGCCGGUUAGGUCAAGAUCCAAUAGGAAUGAACCCAACUGUUCUAGUCCUAUUUCAAAUCUAGCCCAAACCUAUUCGGGUCUAGGUCACAGUCAGUCUGCACACACAAACACAUGUAUAUCCAACCCAAACCUAAUAGCCUAGGUUCGAGUCCUAUGGAGUAGGACCCGGACCCUACUUGCGUGGGAGGUGAGGAAAAGAAUAAACAUGAAAAGUUCUUGUAAAAAAAAAUACCGUGAGAAUUAUUUUAUUUUUUUGAACCUUAACACAAUUAACACGAGAAGUUAAAAAAUUAAAAUUCAUCAAAUAUAUGGAUGUGGGUGCAAGAGAGAGAGGAGACGCCCUUUUCUUUGUUGUUAUACAGUUAGAAAGGGAAAUGAAGUAAUUAUUGCUUUUUGUUUCCAUUUGGUCGGUCAAAAGCCAAACGGUGGAUGAGAAGAGAGAGAGAGGUUCACACUUAUGAGUGGGAAUGGGUUGGGUUGAUCAGAGUAGUUAUAAGUUGGACCCGGAUCUAGGUCAGGUUCGUCAAUUGGACCAGGACUAACCCUUCAUGGACCCGGACCUAGGUCAGGUUCAUCAAUUGGAGCUGGACUAACCCUCCAGGUCUGGUUGGGUCUGUAAACAAAUAAUACAAAAAGUAUACCAUAUGGUAUAGGAAAAAGUAAAGUUCAUAUGAGUGCGAGGCUAUGAACAAUCAAAUUAGAGUGUACUUUAAAAUUUUCACUAGAAAAGGUUGUUUUGAUACUUAAAUAUCUUCAAAUUGAUCAUUUCGACAUCAAGAUGCAUGGACAUGAGAAAAAAAAUGGAUUUCAAGUUUUAGAAAUAGUGCAUCUUGUAAUGCAUAUUUUGGACUAUCAAUUUUCAAGAUUUUUAAGGUUUCAUAGAACUCUUCAAUCUACACUAGUUUUGAAGCUUUAAAUUUUAUAAUUAAAGAUAAAAAUAUAUUUUAAGUCUAUCACACAGAUUUCCAAUAUUGAAACCAUAUUUCUCAGCACUAUUUAAAGGUGGGCUUUACUUUGAUUGUUUAGAGCUUUGGCUCUAUACAACCGCACCCUAUAGGAUAUAUGCUAUAUAAUAUACUUAAUAUUAUAGGGAAAUGUUUUUAUACAUCCCCUAUUAUAUAGAAGUUCCAUAUUUUCCCUGAUCCAGCCUUCCAAUUUAGAUCAAAUGAGCUAUUAAUCGUUUCAUCACUGUUUGUUCUUAUUUAACGUCUCAUAGUAUUUUAUUUUUAAUUUUUAUUCUACAAAUUAUGUGAAUAUGAAAUUUGGUAUGUGCCUUCAUCUCAAUGGGGUGCACUUAAAAAAAAAAAAAAAAAAAUCCAAUAAAAUGAAAUAACGAAAACACCCUUGAAGCUCUUAGAGGUAUUUUGGACAUUUUAUUUUUAUUAUGAAUAUUAUUUUAUAUUUUUUGCAUGUGCAAGUUUAAGAGACGAGUGGAUGCCAAAAAUAUGGUGUCAAAAUAUUUUGUAAAAAAAAUAAAAAAUAAAACAAUGUAGAAGCAUGACAUUGUAGUUGGAUUCAUCUCAGUUGUUCAUUUUGACCUGGCCGCUAAAGAGAAGUAUGUAACUAUUAUACAUUAGAAGAAAUAUAGAAAUCUUGCACUUAUUAAUAUGUAUUUAUAUUAAUAUAGACUGGGUUGGGUCGGUUCAGGUCAACCCAACCUAGAUCCAACCCGACCCGACUAUAUCUACAUUCAACUAGGACUUGGGCCCGACCAAAAUCAAGUCAAAGUUAAAUUGACCCGACCCAUCAGAUCCAAAUUCUGGUUCCAGACCCGGAUGCGUCGACCCAAAUUCCCACCUCGAUUCACACUUUACAUAGACCUCUUUUUAUUGGAGAAAACGUGUGGAACUGACACUUCAAAAUACAAGCGCAAACAUCGCCGGUUUCUCUGUUUUCAGUAUUCAGCAAUGGGCCCGCCCCUCUCUCUAAAAUGUUGCUUCUCUCAAAUGGACCAAUCGGCCCGCCUCUCUCUCUAAAAUACAAACAAACGUAAGCAUUGUCAGUUUUCACGUUCUUGUUAAUUCACCAAUGGGCCUCUCUAAUGAAAACGAAAACAUCUCCUGUCUCUCUCUCUCUACUAAAAACAAAAUGUAAGCAUUGUCAGUUUUCACGUUCUUGUUAAUUCACCAAUGGGCCUCUCUAAUGAAAACGAAAACAUCUCCUGUCUCUCUCUCUCUACUAAAAACAAAACGUAAGCAUUGUCAGUUUCUUUGUUCUUAGUAAUUCACCAAUGGGCCCUCUCUCUCUCUCUUAAAACAAAACGUAAGCAUUGUCAGUUUCUUUGUUCUUAGUAAAUCACCAAUGGGCCCUCUCUCUCUCUCCAAAACGUGGCCGCCCCUGGAUUCCUUCACCUGAAUUUGGGGAACCGAUUUUUUAUCUCUUUUUACCCGUGCGAGAUUAGGGGUGGCAAUUGACCCGGACCAAAACCCGACACGUACCCGACACAGGUCCAGGUAUAGGUCCAACAAUUAGACCUGUGGGUCCGAUCUGGGUUCAAAACCUCGACCCGAACAUUAUUCGAGUAUGGGUCCGCGUCCGGUUGGACCCAACCCAUACCUAUAAACGGUUGGAAAUAUAAUGCUUCAAAUCAUAUUCGUUUGGGUGUAUUAAAGAUCAUAUAUAACAAGAAUUUGUAGUCAUUUUUAGCUAUUAAACGAUAAAUAAGACGACUUGAAAUCUAAUAGCAGGUGAUUGUGACCUUGUUGCCAAUAACAUGGGUAUAUAAUAAUUAAAAAAAAAACUAAAAAAAAAAGAAGAAGUUCAUAGUAAUGGUGGCAAUGGAUCGGCUAAACCCGAGACCCGAUGGAAUAGACCUAAUGGGUACGGGUAUGAGUCGAAUGGACCCGACAGGCCGGCUCCACGUCCAAAACCUGGACCUAAAUACAUUUGGGUUUAGGUCUCAGUCCAGCCGGACGCGACCCAUUCCUACCCCUAUUCGAGAUCUAUACUUAAUAUGCAAAAAAGUGUACAAUGAGACCAUUUAGGUACUAGGCAAUCAUAAUUGAUCUUGACCAUUGGAUGUGAAAUUGGAGAGCUGUAUUUAUUUCAUGAACUAAGCUCAAAUUUUUUUAAAAUUUUUUUUAUCAAAUUUUGUGACUCACUUAAGCUAUCGGAUUUCACAUCAUAUGGUUAUAAGUGUGACAUGUUUGUAUUAGAGGUAAAAAGUCUCAUACAAUCCCUAUUAUUUACCCAAAAUAAAUGGAAAGUAUACUUCUGCUGCUGAGCACAUGUUGGCCCUAAACAAUCAAAUUAGUGCUUACCUUUAAAUAAUAUCGAGAAAUUUGGUUUCAAUACUGAAAAUAUUUACGAUAGCUUUAAAAUAUAUUUUCAAAUCUUUAUUUAUAAAGUUUAAAGCUUCAAAAAUAGUUUAGAUCGAUAGACCUAUGAAAACUUGAAAAUCUUGAAAAUUGACGAUCUAAAUAUAUGUUACAUAAUACACUAUUUCCAAAACUUGAAAUCUUUUUUUUUUUUUCUCAAUGUCCAUGCAUCUUGAUGUUGAGAUGAUCAAUUUGAGGACAUUUGGGCAUUAAAACAUCAUCUUCUAGUGAAAUUUUUGAGGUAGGCUCAAAAUUGAUUUUUUCGAGCCUCGGCCCAAUAUAAACUUUUCCCUUUAAAAAUUAUUAGAUGAGUACAAUUUUGGGAACUAUUUAAAAAUUGGAUGGUCUCCAUUCAAACUCGAGACGGUACUUUUUCAAGUGCAAAAGGUACAAUUAGGUAUUUUUCUAUUGAAGUUAAUCUAUGGGUUUAAGAGGUUAUUGGGGUCCUAAAAUAAAUUCUAGGUGGGGUUUUACUCGAGGAAGUAAAUCGACAUUCUACUCCCGUGGGAGUAUAAUAUCUUUUGCCUAUGUGAAAUCAAGGGGAAAGUGGGUUACAUAUAUCAUCUUAAAGCCAAUAAAUUUUGUGAUCAUGGGGGAGCACACUGUCUAUUUACUCUCCUGGGUUGUAUCGUACUAUCUAAGAUUUUUUGGGGCCUGAAAUUUUGGGGAAUGUAAGCAAUUCAAUCUAGUGACUAACUUCAACAACAAGAAAAAUAAAAAAAAUGCAAAAUAAAGUUCGAAGAUUGACUAGGAGCAUUGAACUUUUGGAAUGUGAGAUCUGAAUAACUCAAAAUUCAGUUCUUUUUUAUAUUCAUAUUGUAAUUCUUAAGGAGAUCUCAAAAUUUUUUUUAAAAAAAAAAAAAAAACUCAAGUAGCUCUUUCGCUCAAAAGAAUUAUUGCAAAGUGUAUGCCCACAGGAUCACAGUGUACAUGCCUAACUAAAUGGACUCUAUUUGCAAAGAACAACUACCAUUGUUUAAACUUUAAAGAGUUGCAGUUUUGGACUCGCCUAGUUGGACCGGAUAUGGAGCCAGGCGAUUUUUAGUCAAAAACGCCUGGAACUACCUAAUGCCUUUUUUUAAUAAACUUUUUACGAGAAAAUUCCCGGUUCGAUUAGAUCUUUUGAGCCUCAGGAAUUGGAGCCUAAGUCCCACAUUUUAAACACUAGAACAUGCUUGGGUUUUAUAUUUGUGAAAAAAGACAUAGACCAAGCAUAAAAAAAAUAUUCUUUUUUCCUUUUAUGCAAUAUCAACAAUAAUGUAAUUUUGGAAACGAUCAGGAAAAUCAUUUUGAUACAACAUUUCUUUUCCACGCCAAGAUAAAUAGAAAAAAGAAACAUGGAUUUAUUGCCUGAAAUUUAUUUAGCAUUAGUGGUUUUCUAAUUGUUGAUUAUUUGUUAAUUAAUCUUUUUCGUCAAUCAUAAGUUAGUUAUCUUCAAGUAGCUUUGCUAGACUUCAGCUGCUAACUACUCAAGCCCAAACCCUAUUCCUCUUCCUUAUCUUCCUUUUGCUAUUGGGUAGAACUGAUAUGAAUUGGACCACCAAGCCAUAAUGUUGGGGACACAUAUGCACAUAUACACACAUUGAGAAAGGGAGACACAAAGGAUCCCAAAUUUCAGGACAUUGUGUUCUUAUUCAUGUUUAAUAAAACUCCAUGUUAUAGUGAUCCAAAGUAGUUUCAUAUCCUAUCUCAUCAGUUGAAGCUAGAAGCCAAGUAAGCAAGGGGCCCCACCAACGGGGCAUUGAUGUACGUGGUGGGUUCUGUUUGGGCAUAAUUGUUCCGAUCAUCAGUGAAGGAAUCGAAUUUGUCGGGCCCACCCACAAUCGCACCAAGGAGCAAAUUAGGGUUAGGGUUUGAGUCCUUAAGGGAUUGGAAACCAGCAUCACAUCCAAUUCUUUGAGUGUUAAUGGUGAUGCUCGGUAGAGAAGAGCCCCUGUGAUGUAUGUGUUGAGGAAAUUUGUCCCCAUAACCAACCAUGUAUGACAUCCCUCGUGGAUUAUCUCCUAGUACGUAAUCAACCUGCAACAAUGGAAAAGCAUAUUUAUAUUAUUUAGAAUUCCAGUGAAAGAAUUGUGUUUUUCAAUGACUAAAAGAUUAUAAAAAGCCAAAAGAAUAUAUUCAAAGGGUGAGAUUUGUAUAAGGUAUACUAUACAAGUAAAGCACAUCUUUAAACUUUGCUAAAAGAUGUAGUUCUUGUAUCGAAAACCUUACGAUGACUUGAAAAUUUAUGUUCAACCCUAGUUAUAAAAUUUCAUAUAUAUAUAUGAGAUGAUCAAUUAAAAGAUUUUUCAAAAACUUUGGAAUGCUCAUUUCUAUUGAAUUUCUUAGGAGCACCUGAUUUCUAUAGUAUAAAAUUGCAACCUUGUAUAAACUUACUUUAUUUCUAUAGUAUAAAAUUGCAAUCUUGUAUAAACAUUUUACAUAAGGCAUCCACUUUAAACAAUUAAAGUAAGACCUGCUAGAAAUUACAGUUUUGAUACUAGAAACGCUUAUGAUCGUCUGAAAAAUCUGGUUUCACUCCUAAGUAUGACAUUUAAAACUCCAAAAAUGGUGAUAUCAAUUAUUACUAUAAGCACUUUAAAAUCUUGAAUAUGGAUGGUCCAAAUAUUGUGUUACAAGGUAUACUAUUUGUAAUACUUGAAAGCCUUUUUUUUUUAUAUGCAUGCAUCUUGAGGUUGAGAUGAUCAAUCGGAGGGUUACCUAAUGUAAAAACAACCUUUUUUAUUGGUUUUUUACUCGUGCACCAAACCCAAGGAGUCAAAACCAGACCCAUAAGUUCCUGUCAUCCUGCUGGGUCUUUAGGGUAGAACCCUGGCCUUACUAUCAACCCUAAUAACUAAGGUGAAGACAAUUUACAUACCUGACUCUUGGCUACCUCUCUGAGGAGGGCUGGUGUGACCACUAGAGAACCACAAGUGAAUGUUCUAUCCAAAUGCUUCAUGUACUUGGCAUAAGUUGAGAGUAAGAAAGUGGUGGAUGUCACAUACUGCAUGUUGCUCGCAUUCAUCUUGUGUAGGAGUCCCCCUGGUGUGUAUUCUAUCUUGAGCAUUGGAGAACCAGGCAAAACGCUGCACAUGAAGUUCUCUGCCUGUGAUCGGAAUUCGGCAAGCGGCUCGUCAUUUUUGACAUGCGAACCCUGAAGAUUCAAUGCCCAGAGAGAGUAAUCAGAUGAGUUUUUUAUUGCCUGCAUGCAAGCUUAGGGUUUUAAAAAAUGCCAAUCAAAUAGGAAUCACCCGAUCUAUAUCGCGAAUCGGUGGGACCGAUCCAAUUUCUACAAUAUAUUGGGAAUCAAACAGUUUCCACUAGGAACGGGCUGACCCGACCCUUACUUUUUUUUUUUUUUUGAAAUUUUUUUUUUUUCUAUAUUUUUAAAUUUUUUAUUGGCUGAUUCAUUUGGCCAGAUAGUCAAUCCAGGCUGCAAAUCUGCCAAUCAAAACAUGUUUCCCAGACAGGCAGUCCGGGUCACAAAUCCAUUUUUAAGCAUUGUGCAAGAUGAAGUAGGGUUGUAAACUAGUUGGGCCAAUAUCUGGCAUCCAAAUAUAAUGGAGGAGGAGCACAUAGAAUACUUAGGUGGGACCAAAGCCCCCUAGGGCAUAUCUUAAGUCAAGUUGACCCGACACCCUCAUCAUCAUCAGAGCUUUAUCUCAAUUCUUUGAGUCAGCUAGUCAAUCAGACACCCUGAGACUCGAAAAAUGAAUCAUCAAGACUGUGAUUGUGAAGGAUGAAGAGUAUAUAGAGAGCAAUAGGAUCGAAAUUUGCUCUCUCUCCCUCUCCCUUACCUUGGAAAGGAGGACCCUAGCUCCAGCCAGCUUAUUGUCCCAACUGAAAGUAUCGCAUGGAGCGUUGGCUCCAAGUGCCUGUGCAUAAUCAAGAUAGGAAGAAUUGUGGGUGGCUUUGAACAUCCAAGCUGCACCCCAUAAUAGCUCAUCCUGCAAAAUUCAUAAAAGAAAUCUAAGUUGGAUGUUUUCUUUUUUGUAUUUUUGAAUAGGCAAAAGUUUAUAUAAGGUUGCAAUCAUAAAGUAUAGAAUUAAAGAUGCACAUAAAAAAUCUAUCGAAAAAUGUUAUUUUAAUGUUGAGAAACCCACUAAUUGAUCAUCUCGAUAUCAAGAAGUGUGAAUAUACAAAAAUAAAUAAAAUUUAAGUCCCAAAAAUAGUGCAUCUUGCAAUACAUUAUCUAGACCGUCUAUUUUCAAAAUUUUCAUAUGUUUAUAGAUCUAUUUGAUUUUAACCAUUUUUAGAAUUUAAAUUCUUGUAAUUAAAGAUAAAAAUAGAUUUUUGGAUAAUCCUACGUAUUCUUUAGACCAAAAUUAUAUGUCAUGAUAAAAUUUGGAGGUGUGCCUUAAUUGGAUUGAUUAAGGUUGCAACCUUAUACAAAUCACACCCUUUUCAAUAAUUAAGAACAAAGAAAGAAUAGAAGUUUUCUUUCGCUGGAUUGGCCAAACAGGGGGGGGGGGCCGUUGGCCCCUGUAUAACAUGAGCAAGCAUGUUGAUAUUUUUUGUGUCAUCGAUAAUAUUAAGAAUACAACACUUAUGUUUAACCUGUUGAAAACUUAAUAAAGUUUUCUUGACUUUUCUUGUUGAAACCUUACUAAAACGUUACUUUAAUAUCACCUAAAAUUUGUACCUCCCUGUUUGUCUAAAUGGUACACUAAUUGUACCUCCCUGUUUGUCUUAUGGGAAGCUACAAUUGAAAUUGUAAAAAAGAAAAGUUGAAAAUAUAAAAAGAAAAGUGAAAAAAUGUACAUAUGAUUAUUUCUUUGGAUCAAAAGCAAAGAAACUACGCUUCUAAAUUAAAAGGAAAAUAAGUAUCAAAACUUCGUUUCGUAUUUAAAAAAUCCAAAACCAAAAACAAAAACAUUGCGUCCACCCUUGGGUGGUCAGCCACCGUUGUCCACGCUCCCCCAUUUUGGGAACCUUGUGGACCCUCUUUUGGCCCCAAAUUUUGCGAAAUACAUCUUGCUUAUUUCAUUUUAAUUGUUCAUCGAAAAACAAAUUUUGGGGCUGAAAAUGUGCCCCCAGGCCUGGACCUUGCAACACCUUUUCUUUCCUAAAUGGAUUAUGCAUAUUCACUAUUCACUGUAUUUUCUUUCGCCAAAAAGAAAACUAUAUUUUAUAGUUUAUUUUUUGGGAUGGUAUACUAUUAGACAAUUUCGUUUUGAGAAAGUAUAGAAUGAGACCAUUUACUUUUGGUACAAGCUGAGACAUUAAUUUGGACCAUUGGAUGUGAAAUUGGGUAGCUGUAAUUAUUUCAUCGACCAAGCUCAAACUUCAAAAAAAAUGUUUUCAAACUUCAUGACACAUCCAAACAAUCAAACUUCAGAUCGGAUGGUUGUAAGUAAUUGUGACCACCUUGUAUCAAAGGUAACUAGUCUCAUUGUAUACAAUCCCUUUUGUUUUUGUACAAUGAGGUUACAAUCACUUUUGAUCAUUGGAUUUCAAGCUUUAUCGCAACGUUUGAGAAAUUCUGUUUUGGACUUUGUGCCCAAGCAAUAACAUAUCCUCAACCGCUAGAUUUCAAAUCUAACAGUCGAUAAUGGCUCUUACUCUUUAUAUAAAACAUAAAUGGUCUCAUUGUAUACAUUUUUUAAAAAAUAAAAUAUUCACAACCUUCUUUACCAAGACCAAGAAGAUGGGUGUGGCAAAGUUGGCCAACAACUGCGACCUAGGGCCCCAAAAUGGGGAUGGGCAGGUUUUAUUCGUUGUAGACAAAUUGUUUUCCAUGGAAAAAAUUUAGGGAAAUGUUUUUGUACUUCCUCUACAAUAUAAAAGAUCUACGCUUCCCCUACCAUCCAACCGUCCAAUUUUCAUCAAAAUAGUCACUCACUGUUUGAUCUUAGAUCUGACGUCUCAAAGUAUUUAAUUUUAGUUUUUUUUAUACAAAUGUUAUGAAUAUGAAAUUUGGUAUGUGUCAUCUUCUCAUUGAGGCGCACCUAUAAAAAAAAUAUUUAAAAUAAUUUAUCGAUAAAAUACCAAAAUACCCCUUGAAACUUUCAGGGGUAUUUUGGUCAUUUUAUUCUUUUGGAAAUAUGUUUUUAUAUUUUUCACUAGUGUGAGUUUAAUAGAGGAUUAGAUGUCCAAAAUUCGGUUUCAAAAUAUUUUAUAGAAAGAAAAUUAAAAAUAAAAUAGUGUAGAGACGUGACAUUGUGAGUUUAAUAGAGGAUUGGACGUCCAAAUUUUGGUUUUAAAAUAGUUUAUAAAAACAAAAAUUAAAAAUAAAAUAAGGUAGAGAUGUGAUAUUGUGAUUGGGGCAAUAUUAACCCUCCAUUCAGAAUGGUUGGAUAAGGGGAAGUAUAUAAAUUUUAUGCUGUAGGGAAAGCAUCGAAAGCUUGCCCAAAUAUUUAUAUCGAAACAACUCAAAACUUACCAAGUAACCAGAGUAAGAGCAAUAAAACGGGCAAACCGCCUCCGACAAAUGGUCACUAUACGCCCCUCUAUACCUAUCUGCAAAGUCGAAGGCCUUUCCAGCGGCAUCCAAAAGUGUUUUAGAGUAAUCAGGAUCAACUUUUUUGAACACCUUCGAUGCCGCGGCAAGAGCUGCUGCAGUUUCCCCUGCAACAUCUGAGCCAGGAUUUGCAGGGGAGACGUUGUAAACGGUGCGAGGUGUGUCUGUGUCCUCUGCCCUUUGCCAACACUGGUGGUCAGCCACCGGGUCACCAACUUGGACAUAGAGGGCAUUAGGAAGGGCACUAGUGGCCUUCAGGAGAUAGUCGGUGCCCCACCGGAUCGCUUUGUGAGCUUGAUCGAGCUCGUUGCCCAUGCGCCUACCGAACUCGAGAACACUCCAUGAGAGCAUGGUGGUGGUGAAAGCCAUGGGUAGACCAAAUUUCACAUUGUCUCCAGCAUCAUAGUAUCCUCCACUCAAAUCCACCUAUAUUAUGUAAUUUAAACUGUUAAACUUAUCAUUUCUAGCCAUCUAAACCAAACAUGAUCUCCAAAAAUCUAUUUUGGAGAUCAUCCUCAAUAAUAAGUCUGAGAAAAUUUUAUUUCAAGCAUUAAAAAUGAUCUAUUUUGUACUUUCGUUUUCUUUCUUUUUUUGGACCUACCAUUUUAAUUCCUCAAAUAUUGAAAGUCCUCACUUCUUAUAUGCAAGCAAGAUAAAAAGAAAGAAUAUGUAUUUUCACCAAAAUAAUAAUCUGUUCUUUAUUUGAAUCGGUUAGCAGACUUCCAAAAGAAAAACAAUGCAAAAUAAAAUGAAAAUCAAACUUAUUAAUUAAUUAAGUUGAUAUUUUUAUUUUAAAUUGUCGGAUGAUCUGUAACUUUGAGAGUCGAAACAGAUGGAUUUUGCAAUUUGUGAUGUAUUUUCUUUAUUUUUCUCUUAAAAAUAUAUAUUUAGAUAUAAAAAAUGAGGGUUUUUGGGUAUUUCAACUCAAAAUUUUCAAAAGAUAUAUUUCAAGGAUCUUUUCAAAAACCCAUCUCGAUAAGUUUCAUAUAGUCAAAAAAAAAAAAACCAUAAAUUAUCUAUUUCGAGAGGCAAGUUGACAAAUACAUACAUUAACUGUGGAGCCAUCGGAGAGGCCGGAAUCCAAACGCCAUUUGAUUGAUUGAUCAGAUGGAAGCCUCCCCGAUCGCUGGGCCUCGAAGAAAACUAUGGCCUUGGCAAGGGCAUCUUUGUAGUCGUGAUGGCUGGAAACAAGAGACCCCCAAUCCCAAAUGAGCAUGAUUGCUAGAGAAAGCACAAUCCGCCGCCUCAUCUCGUCGCCUCUAUCGCUGGAAUUGAAGAAUACGAUAGAAUUACAGAGGAUAUACCGACGAAAUUCGUAUAGUAUUCAAAAAAUACCAGAAAAAUAUAUCUAUUUUUUUAUUUUAAUUAUUUUUCUUUCUUUUUUUUCAAUGGUGAAGAAUAUGCAUGUUAUUUAUGGUGGAGAAGUGGAGAUACAAAUAAGCAUUGUUAAUAGGUAAAGUAGCCGAGCAGUGGUUCCCAAUUGAUGGGUGCUCCUUGUGUAGUGGCAAAAAGAGUGCCAAUGGACGGUUGUUGUAAUGACACGUGGUGUGAUGUGGUUGGUUUGUUGUGAUGUGGCUUGAGGUGAUUGGGUGGUGGUUUCUUGGUUAGUGUGGGCCGUUGCUUCCAAUAACGAACUCAUGGGAAACAAGAUUUCCUUAGGUAGGUGGGUCAUCAAACAAGCAUUUUGGAUUUGUUUUGGGCCUUGGGCCUGUAGUUUGUGUAAGGCUGAGGCCCUAAACAAGAUGCACCUUCAAAUACAUUCUUUCAGUACUAAAAAAUCUUUGUGUUAACUUGAAAUUUUAUUUUUUAUAUCUAAUUAUUAAAUUUUAAGCUUCAAAAAUAGUGUACAUCGAACACAUCUAUGACCGCUUGAUAAUCUUGAAAAUUGAUGGUCCAAAAAAUGGAUUAUAUGACAUACUAUUUCCAAGCCUUGAAAUUCAUUUUUUCUCAUAUCCAUAGAUCUUGAAGUUGAGAUGAUCGAUUAGAGGAUUUUAGAGAAUCGAAACAACCUUUUUUAGUAAAUUUUUGAGGUGCGUUUUAAUUUGAUUGUUCAGGACCUCACCCUUAUAUAAACUUUUUUUCAGUUUGGCCUCUAAAAUAAAGCUCUGUUGUGUGAAGGUGUUACCACCACGACCCAAGCUUAUAUGUGCCUUUAACAAAAUAAUGCCUUAAGCUUUGGGGAUGGGUCAUGCAAUUCUUAGACAAUCAAAUCUAAAUGUUUAGAAAACCAAAAUCCGAAUUGCCUUUUUUAAUUUCAUAUGCCCAUCUCAUGAUCGAAAGUGAUCCGCGACAUUUCGGUCGAAAGAUUUCUCCCACGUGGCUCUUUCGCAUGAGGUAGUAAGUGCACUGUUUGCUCCCACAUGGGCACAAUCUAUUCAUAUUUCCAUUUGCACUUUAUUUAUGUGUAAGAACAUUUUCAUUAGGAAAAUGGCAAGCCCAGUUGGUAAUCUGCUUGGGAAGGAGUGAUCAUUAAUAUUGUUCUUGAUGAAAACGCACAAGUUACAACCCAAGGUCCACUUUCCUCUCCACUCAAUACAAACUCUUCUUUUUCUAUUGAAAGUUAGACUUUUAACCCAUGACUCCAUAUUGCUAGAGCAAUUAGGUCAUGAACCCCUAGACCAACACAACAAACCUAGAGAAAGUUUCAUUCUCUAACAACUGGAUUCUCCAUUACCUACUUUCUCAUUAGAGAAGAGGCACACAUACAUGGAGUCCUCAUGACCACUACUACAGUAAUGUGUUAAUUGCUCCCAGCUAGGUAAGCGAGGGGGCCCACUAGUGCGGCAUUGAUAUACAUGGCAGGCUCUGAUUGGGCAUAAUUCGUUCGGUCGUCAGAGUAUCUGUCAUUUUGGUCAGGCCCACCGACAACAGCACCGAUAUGGAGGUUAGGAUUAGGGUUUGGAUUAUAGAAUGCAUGAAAGCCGGCUUCGCACCCUAUGCUUUGAGGGUAUGCCCCUAUAGAGGGAAGGGAAGAGCCCCUAUGGUGCACAUGUUGAGGGAACUGCGGUCCAAACCCGACCAUAUAGGACAUCCCAAGGGGGUUGUCCCCUAGAAUGUAGUCCACCUAUAAAGAAAAUAUCAAAUAUCAAUACCAAAGGAACACACACACAUACGGCACACUUCGCAAGGUAAUUUGAAAAUUAACAACAGAAGAUAUGGCGAGGCAUACUAUGAUCCAUGUGAUCAUGAAAAUGAUAGCAUUCUCCAUAUGAUCAUAGAAACACCAUUUUCACCAUAGUUAUGACCGUCUGGACAAUUGAUUGAUGGUGAUGAAUGGAGAGUUUCCACCACUUGGGUCAUGUCAUGUUAUUGUUGUCGAAACUCACUCCAUCACAAUCGAUUAGACGAUCAUAAGAAUUAUGACCAUUGUGUUACUAUGGUCAUGUGAAAUAUAAUACUCUCUCUCACACACACACAUUAAAGAUACCUGUUUCUUGGCUAGUCUUCUUAGUGUAGGACCGUUGACAAAGGUACCACCACAAUUGAAGGUGUGAUGCGAAGUCAUCAUGUACUUUGCAUAUGUAGAGAGCAAAAAGCUUAUGGAUGUCACAUAUUGGAGGUUACUCGAACUUAGCUUGUAAAUAAGUCCACCUGUGCAUAUGCAAUAACAUUCACAUGGACUUCUUUAUCUUUCAAUCUUGGUAACUCAGUAAAUUUUAUUAUACUUUUCCUAAAUAAAAAUGUACCAAUGUUUUAAAUUUAGAUUGGAUUACUCACCCACUAGUUUUGAAUCGAACUAGUCAAGUUAGUGACUGGCUUUUGCAAUGAGACGAAACCCAAAAAAAAAAGCAAAAUGAAAGAAAAAAUUUUGGUUAAAAAAUAAAAGAAAAUUGUAGACAAAUUUGAAAAAGUUUAAAAUGUUUAGGCAAAGGUUGAGAAGAUUUAUUAGGGUGUUAGAGUAUGUUAUGGGGAGAAAAUCAGUUAGGGUUCCCUUCUAGUUAUGGUUCAAUUGAGGCGGUUCCUAGUUACAACGCUGGACUUUCAAAUUUUUUUGGCCACUCAUUAUCCUUGCUUCAGAACACAAAAAUUUUCGAGCAAUGAUAUUUUUUACAAUUAGAAGGGACAUAAUAGAUAUUUUUGUAAAAAAAAACUUACGUUAUUCUUUUUAUGAUUGAAAAAUAAUUAAUACUCUAUGUGAGUGAUAUCAUUAUCUCAUAUGGAUAAUGUCAUUCUCCGCUAUAGUUAAUAAAUAUUUUUAUUUCUAUCAAGAAUUUCUAUUUUAUCCUUGUUAAUUAUCUAAAAUAUCGAUAGACAUAAAAGGUACUACACUGCAAGGUAAGGGCAUCAAGUAACAAAAGCUUUUGAAUACAUUAAAAAAAUACUCUAUAUAAAAAUACUCUCACCAAACCAUAAUUUAUAUUUCUAAAUAUGAUUAACCCUCAAAUGUAUUUGGGAAUAACACACUUGUGGCAAUCUACUUUUAAUUUUCAUUUAUGUUAUGGACUUCUCCAUAUCGAUCAUAACUCUCUAUCUAUCCCUGUCUUUCUCUUAAUAAUAACGAAAACAAGAAUCACACCUGGUGUAUAUGUUGUUGUUGACGAGGGCGAAUUUGGUAAAAUGCUACACAUGAAUUUCUCAGCUUCCAUUUGGAAUUGCUUGAAAGUUGGGUCCCCAUUAACCAGAGAUCUCUAGCAGUCCCACAAAAUAAAAACAAAAUUAAAAAUUUAUACAACCAUCUUAUCAAAAUUAAAUAAAUUUAUAUGUAUAUGGAGAUACAUACAAAAAACUGACUUUUGCUGCACAAAAGAUCAUUUACCCUAGAAAGAAGAACACGGGCACCAGCAAAUUUGUUAUCCCAGCUGAAAAUAUCGGCAUCAUCAUCGGCACCCAAAGACCGUAUUAGAUUAAGAUAAUAAACAUCAUUAGUUGCCCUCAAUAACCAUGUGGCUCCCCAGAGCAGCUCAUCCUGAUAACCAAGAACAGUCAUUAGCCAGUGUCCUCGCGAAAAUAUAUGAGAUAAAGGUAUGGGAAGUUUACACGAAUUUUAUUUUAUUUGAAGUACUUUACUGAAAAUCACAUGUCGAGUCAUAAAAAUCUAAAAAUAGCUGAAAAUAAAAUAAUAAAUAAUAUUAUGUGAAGUAAAAGUUAUGUACCAAAUAGGCAAAAAAAAAAAAAUGCAUGGUAUAUUAAUUUCAGAUAAGAUAAUCCACUCCUAAUGAGAUUAAUUGUCCUCCAAACAUACCUGAGAGGGGCAACAUUGGCCUUUAGAAAAUAUUGCACUCAACUGAAUUGCAAAUCAACUAAUCCAUACCAGUUUAAAUAUUCGUAUUUCUAUCAAGAAUUUCAAUUUUAUCUUUUAUUAAUUACCUAAAAUACCCAUGAAAUAAAAAAAUUAUUACAUAGUGGGAUAAGGAUAUCGAGUGUCUAACAAUGUUUAGUACAAUAAAGAUAUACUAAUGUGUAUAAGUACCCUAAUAUAACCCUUUAAAAAAUGAUGAUUUGGAUUAAAAUCAUCCAUUUAGAUUGGAAAUUGAUAGAACCGGUCCGGUUCCCACUAUAUAUUGAAAAUUGACUGGUUCUCUGAUAAAGCUGGUCUAUUCUGUUAGGGAAUUGAUCAAUCCUGCCUACAUUUUCAAUUUUUUAUUUUUUAUUGACCAAUUCACUUGAGUGGAUUACAAAUCUGCCUACCUAGGCCAGUUUUCAAGAGGGCCGAUCCAUCCAACCAAUCUGUUUUUUCUCAACCACUGGUCAACAAUAUUUCUAAUGGGCUCUCACCUCUCCUUUCUUAAAAACUAAAAUGUGUCCAUGAUCUCUCUCUCACUACACCACAUUCAUUAAACACUACUUUCAAUGUGUCCUCUCUCUCCUUAAAUACUAAAAUGGUCAAUCAUAUCUCUCCCUCUCUAACACAUGCAUUAAACACUAUUUUCAAUGGAUUCUCUCCCUUCUAAAAUAUUACAAAGGUUAGUGAUCACUCACACACACAUUAAGCACUAUUUUCAACAAAUACACUAAGAUGGUCAAUGAUCUCUCUCUCUCUCAUAUUUCAUACCUUAUAGCCCGAAUAGGAGCAAUAAAAGGGGCAAACAGCCGAACCAAGUGAGUCACUAUAGGCCCCUCUAUGCUCAUAGGCAAAGGCCAUGACCUUCUUUGCGGUGGAUAGCAACACCUUCGAAUAUCUCCUAUCCACCUUCCUAAACACCAUCGAGGCCGCAGCAAGUGCGGCCGCGGUCUCACCGGCCACGUCCGAGCCAGGGUUCGAUGGUGUAACUUUGUACACGUCUCGUGUUGUGUCCAUGUCCUCUGGCCUCUCCCAGCACCUUCAUAUCAUUAAAAACACAAUAAAUAUUAAAUAUUAAAAAGGUUGCUAGUACGUCUAGGGUUAAAAGGUGCACAAGCACUUUUUGAUGGUUAAGAUUGAAACUAGCUUCAUCAGGGUCAAAAUUUAUUUUUAUUUUUAUUUUAUAUUUAAUUUCGAAAUUAUAUUUAUCCGAAAUUUGAAUUUUAGCUUCAUUUUUAUAAUAAUUACGUUAAAAAAAUAUGAACCAAAAUACAUUUUGGUGUAUUUUGGUGAUUUUUAUUUUAAUUAUUUUUUAGUUCUUUUUUAUAAAAAUGAAUUUACAUCCCAAAAUUUAGAUAAUAUAAGAUUUAAAUAAAAUAAAAUAAAAAAAUUAACUUUGUGGCCCAUUGUGAAAUCUAAACCGUUAAGAGGGUGCUUUUCACAUGAUGUGGAGGGGAUACGUUCCCUUUUCUCAAUCGUAAAUCUUUGAAUCCACCGGGCCAAUGAAAUUCAUAUUCAUAGAUAUAGGAAGAAGCCUCAUCAAAUAGAGAUUUUUUUCUCUAUAAUCACCUGAUGUUUAUUUUUUAAAUACUUAGAUAUAAUUUUCAAAAAACUGAAAGAUCUCUGUGCUAUUUUUCUAGAUAAAUGAACUGUGCUAUAUUUUACGUUGUAAUUUUUUUCAGAACAUGUCAAGACAUAUGGUUUCUUUUUCACAAUAUCAGUUUAGUUUUUAAAGGAUGGGGUUUUUAUAAGUCAGCCUACUCAUAUAUACACAUGCAGCCCUCCUAUAAAAUCCAUUUUAAAGAUGGACUUUUUUAUCCAAAUCUUUAUAGAUUCAUGAUGUAGGCCAAGAUGAAUAUGAAUAUGAAUAUGAAAGAAAAAAAAUUUAAAAUUUUAAAUUGUAAUAUUUAUUUUAUAUUGAGAUUUUUUGAUGUCCAUAUGUAAUAAUGUCCGGUGCACUUUUAGACACAUGGACGCUUGUGGGUCAGAGGCCUCUUAAGUUGUUGACUCACAAAACAUUUUCUUUUUUAAAUGUUGAUUGCUAGAUCAAGGAGCUGACAUCCCCCAACAUUUGGGUUCUAGAAAUGGAUUAUGAGAAUUUUUUACAAUGAAAAAGCUUAUGAGUAUUACUGAGGGAGUGGAUGUACUAUAUACUCCCAUGGGAGCAUAUAAUUUUCACUAGGUGAGGUUUAGGUAAUGUGCCCACUUUAUAUUAUACAAGUAAUCAAAACAUCUAAAUUGAAUAGACGUUGUUCCGGUGUCAGAAACUUUCUGAUUGUUUUAAAAUCAAUGUUCAACACAAAUUAUAAAAUUCCAAAUUUCAAAAAUAGUGUAAAUAUAGCAGAUCUAUAAAAUACUACAAAAUUUUAAUAAUAGAUAGUCUAGAUACCUUAUUACAAAAUACAUUAUUUUUAAGACUUGAAAUUUUUAUUUUUCUUUAUGUUUGUACAUCUCAAAGUCUAUAUGAUCAAUUGAAAAAUAUUUCAGCUUCGGAGCACUCAUUUCUAUUAGAUUUUUUAGAAAUAUCUUCCUUCUAUAGUAUAAAGUUGCAACCUUAUAUAAAUUUUUAAGCAUGUGUACUAUCUCCUUGGCUAACAUAGUUUACUUUUUCUCUCUUGGUCAGAACACAUGGGAGGAUUUUUUCAAUCUGAAUUUUUGAGAACCACUUAAUAAUUACUAAAUAAUUAUCCUCAAAAAACAAAAAUUAAAAUUUGAGUUGUGCAACACUUAGAUGUCACCAUCGUAAAAUUGGAGGAGUCUCUAUUCAAUCUCUAUAUAUUAUUUUGUUCAAGUAUAUAGAGGGAAGAAUUAGAAGAAAAACAAGUUAUAUAUAUAUAUAUAUAUAUUUUAGUGUAUGGGUAGAAGAGGUUGCAUCCCCAAAAUUUGAAAAGUGGUGUAUUAUCCGAGGGAGUAAAUAAACAUUCUACUCCCGAGGAAGUAAACUAUCUUUUGGCUUUUUUUUUAUUUUUUAUUUUCCUGGGAAGUUCUUCUCUUUUCUAACUUUACACACCUGUGGUCCGUAUUGGGAUCACCUACUCCAACAUAGAGAGUGUUGGGAGUUGAAGUGGAGGCCUUUAGAAGGUAGUCUGUGGCCCACCGAAUGGCCUCGCGAGUGGGCUCCAACUGAGAGGCCAUGCGUUUCCCGAACUCCAGAGCGGACCACGAGAGCAUGGUGGUCGCGAAGGCCAUCGGAAAUCCGAACUUGACGUUAUCCCCCGCGUCGUAGUAACCUCCGCUCAGGUCCACCUGCGCUUCCACACCGCCAAACUCAGUCACUCUUUCUUUCUCUCUCUCUCUCUCUCUCUCUCUCAUCUACAAGUGCUUGGAGAAAGAAGGGAGACCUAAACUUAUUGACUGUAACCGGUAACCACCCGGUUACAUCGAAACCUACAAUGGUCCGGUUCAUGCUUCAUCACGUUUAGGUGACCGGCUAGGUAUUUUUAAAACUAAUUUAAAAAAUAUAUAUAGAGUUUUAAAAAGUAAGGGAUUUUGUUUGUGACGUAUUUUUUUAGUGUUUUUCAUCAUUACGACAAAGAUUAGAAAUAGUUUUGGCCAUUAAUACUUAUUUUUACAUAUUUUUUUGUCUUUUUUUUUAAAUAAGUAAGAAUACCCUUGGGCCUAAAUCAAUUAUUUAAAAUCUAUUUUGCAUUAAUUUUUAAUUUUAUUUGAAUGUGCUUUGUUUAAUCAUUUUUUCUAAUAUAUAUAUAGUCGUGGGAGGCAAGGNACACAGGGGAUAGGNNNNNNNNNNNNNNNNNNNNAACACUUUUUUGACCACUCAGGGCCUUGUCCGAUUAAAAUGGUUGAACCGACCAGUUUACCGGUUAGGCAAGUUGAACCGCUUUCAAGGCCAUGUCUGGUUAACUGCUCCGUUAACAAUACUUUUGACGUUAUGUUGAAAGAAAAAAAUUAUACAAGAUGACAAAAGUAAUGAGCACUUCCAAAACUCACUCAAAAUAGUCAUUCCCAAGUUGAAGAACUCUCCUGGUUGAUAAAUAUCGAUUUUAAGAUGUAUAGACAUAUAAAAAAGAAAAGGGUUCAAAAGAACAUUAGCACUUGACACAUUUGGGACAAGAGUUAGGGUCAUGGUGGUAGCACCCCACACUCUGGUUACCACCUUAUAGUUUUUGUUCCCACUCCACCACCCCAUUAAAACCUUCAAACAAAAUCGGAUAGGAGUCUGCCUUCUCCGCUGAAUUACCCAAAAAAACCUACUUGUGACACAUUGUCUGGUUCGUCUAUUUUAAAAAAAAAAAUAGCUCUUUAUGGAUCUUCUUGAUUUACAUCUUAUUAAGAGCUUUAAACAUCAUAAUUAAGGGUAAAAAUCAAUGUUGAGGCCAUCAUAAUGCUUUUUUGGGGUCAAAACUGCACUUUUUGCAAGAUUUAAAAGUGCACCUUACUUUAAUUGUUUAAGAUUGAUGCUUUAUAUAACCUGCAACUAAAAGCAAUGAGAAAAUUCUCUUUUGGAAAUGAGAGUAAUGGCCCAGCAUGUGGAAAUAAGUGGCAUUUUGGUAAGCCUUUCAAAAUAUUUCCAUGAUUCCCCAUUUGAGAGGGAGAUACACACUGAGAGAAGGUGUGAGAGAGAGAGAGUGUGUAUAUGAGAGGGAGAGACAGAGAGAGCAGGUAUGAGAGAGAUGGAGAACAAGUGUGUGUGUGUGUGCGUGCACGUAUGUAAAAGAGAGAACAGGUCCAUGAGAGACAGGUGAAUAUGUGUUUGUGUGUGUGAGAGAGAGAGAGAGCAAAUGUGUGUGUGUAUGUGAGAGAGAGAUAUGCAUGGAACUUACAUGAGCCCUCGAUCCAUCAGAUAAGCCUGAAUCAGACCUCCAAGUAAUCUUCUGACUUGGAGGAAUCUUUCCUGAUCUUUGCCCCUCAAAAAACAAUAUUGACUUUGCAAGUGCAUCCUUGUAGUCAGGGUGGCCAUGGAUAAUCCUAACAAGGAAUAAGAGAGAGAAAAUCGAAAAUAUAGAGAGAGAAAGAGACAUUUGCUUGGCCAUUGAAGGCUAAGAAAAUGUUAGAGAGAGAGAGGGGGAUAUUUCCUUGGCUAUAGAAGGUGCAGAGAGAGAGAAAGGGAUAUGAAAAUGUAGAGAGAGAAAGGGAUAUUUAGAGAGAGAAGGAGUUGUAGAGAGAGAAAAUGAUAAUUUCUUGGGUAUGGAAGGCCAAGUCGGUUGCAUGCAUGCGAUAUGGUUGAAGAUGGGAAGGUAUUUUAUAGGCAACGAGAAGGAAAUAAAGAAUUUAAGAAGGAUUAAAUGGAUUUUAUAAAGCAACGCAAAUUGUGGCUUUUCUCUAUUGCUUUUUUUUUGACCUUUACUCUUUUUUAUUUUUAUUUGCUUUUGGCGGUCUAAGUGGGGGACUGCGGCGCUGAUUGCUUGGCGCAGUUCUGCGCGCCGAAUGGGAAAAAGCCUAAAAUGAGUGGUCUGGUUUUGAGAGAGAGAGAGAUGGUUUAGAGAGAGAGAGAGAUACUUUGAGAGAGAGAGAGAGAGAAGGGGGGUGCAGUGCCACAGGUAAUUUAUUGCAAGAUUGAUGUGUAUUAGAGCUAGAAAGCAUAUGACUGAAGAAAUUUCUAACACAUGAGAGAGAGAGAGAGAGAGUUUUUUGGUGUUGUCAGACAAGGAAUUUUGGAGCAAAAUCAAUGUGUAAUGGAAGGAGAAGAAAAAAAUAAAGGCAUUUGGUGACAUGAGAGAGAGAGAGAGAGUUAAUCAAGGAAAACAUAAUUGGCGAGGCGCCAAAUUUUGACAGAUUGUGGUUGAAAACUUGAAAUGUAGAUAGAAAGCAAAUUCCCCUCAACAUUCACACUACUUAAUUGCCUUGCCCACCAUUAGUGCCGCAACUCUCUCUCUUCUUAAUCCCUCUCUAGUUCUGGUCGAUAUCAAUGACCACCACCCAUUGUAGGAAUAAUCCAAAUUGAACGAAUAAAUAGAUAUGGGGCAGGAAGUGGUUCAAUCGGCCUAACUGAGUAAUCUUUAGGGCCGUCUAAAAAGGUUAAAAAAAUAAAAAAUAAAAAUAAAAUCUAAUAAAAAAUGAACGUAUGAUUAAACAAAAUACAUCCAAAUGAAUUUGAAAAUUAAUGAAAAAAAUAGAUUUCAAAGAAUCAAUUUGUUCCCAAAAAUAUUUUUGAAAUUUUUUUUAAAAAAAAGAAGGGAAAAAUAUAAAAAUAAUUACUAAUAGUAAAAAAAAAUUCAAUCUAUACCAAAAUGAUGAAAAAAUUAAAAAAAAUACAUUAUAAACAAAAUUUCUUAAUUUUUAGAAUUGUAUAUAUUUUUAUAAAUACAGAACUCGAUCACCAAAACCGACCGCAUACCGAUCUAACCGAACAGUUAAAAUUUGAACCGCGAGAUUUUUCCUACACUGCCACCACCGUCCCUCUCACUCUUAUUUGGCAUCUUACCUUACCAAUCAAUCUCUCUCUCUCUCUNNNNNNNNNNNNNNNNNNNNNNNNNNNNNNNNNNNNNNNNNNNNNNNNNNNNNNNNNNNNNNNNNNNNNNNNNNNNNNNNNNNNNNNNNNNNNNNNNNNNNNNNNNNNNNNNNNNNNNNNNNNNNNNNNNNNNNNNNNNNNNNNNNNNNNNNNNNNNNNNNNNNNNNNNNNNNNNNNNNNNNNNNNNNNNNNNNNNNNNNNNNNNNNNNNNNNNNNNNNNNNNNNNNNNNNNNNNNNNNNNNNNNNNNNNNNNNNNNNNNNNNNNNNNNNNNNNNNNNNNNNNNNNNNNNNNNNNNNNNNNNNNNNNNNNNNNNNNNNNNNNNNNNNNNNNNNNNNNNNNNNNNNNNNNNNNNNNNNNNNNNNNNNNNNNNNNNNNNNNNNNNNNNNNNNNNNNNNNNNNNNNNNNNNNNNNNNNNNNNNNNNNNNNNNNNNNNNNNNNNNNNNNNNNNNNNNNNNNNNNNNNNNNNNNNNNNNNNNNNNNNNNNNNNNNNNNNNNNNNNNNNNNNNNNNNNNNNNNNNNNNNNNNNNNNNNNNNNNNNNNNNNNNNNNNNNNNNNNNNNNNNNNNNNNNNNNNNNNNNNNNNNNNNNNNNNNNNNNNNNNNNNNNNNNNNNNNNNNNNNNNNNNNNNNNNNNNNNNNNNNNNNNNNNNNNNNNNNNNNNNNNNNNNNNNNNNNNNNNNNNNNNNNNNNNNNNNNNNNNNNNNNNNNNNNNNNNNNNNNNNNNNNNNNNNNNNNNNNNNNNNNNNNNNNNNNNNNNNNNNNNNNNNNNNNNNNNNNNNNNNNNNNNNNNNNNNNNNNNNNNACUACUACUCUCUCUCUCUCUCUCUCUCUCUCUCUCUCUCUCUCUCUCUCUCUCUCUCUCUCUCUCUCUCUCACACACACACAGCCAGCCGAGGAUAAGAGGAAAUGAAAGUAUAAUGGUGGUGUGUUUGUGAUCGAGGAGGCAUCAAGUUUUGCUGAGGUUAUACCCGACCAUGGGCAUUGAGUAUUUAGGGUUUGGUCGUAAGGCCCAAGGCACUAUGCCCUUUAAAUAUGGAUGCCUUUUCCCAAUCCCCGCCGUAGAUGAAGCCUCAUCCUUUCCCUUAUUCCCCCCUCAAACUGUUCAAUGUAUUCAUUUAUUUAUUAUUUUCUUCAACUUGAUUCUUAUAUUUAUUAUUCAAUGGAUUCGUAUUUAUUUGUUAAGAGUCUUAGGAAUGGGAUUUGUUUGGGAUCUGGCCCUUGAGCACGCUUCGACUUAGAGAGAGACAAGAAGAUGUUUCCUUUAAUGGAAAGAUACACUUGUGUAGUUGAAGGGUCUCAUAAUGGUCUCAAGAUUAAGUAGUUAGGGUAGUAGGGCGCCUUUGUUUUUGUUUUUGUUUUUUUUUUUUUUUUGUUUUUUUUUUUUUUGAAAUCAUGAGUUUCUUUGCUACUAUAUGUAAGAGGUGUUUUUUUCUGCUGAACCCUUAAUGGUGGAUUACUAUCUCAAUACGGCUAUCUAUGUACAUGCCGUGUGAUGGUACAACGAUAAGGUUUUAGUUCUAUCUCUAUAGACUAUUCAUCACACAUAAUGAUCACACAGUCCCUCAGCUCUUAUCCCGGCAUACUCCGACCUCAUCAAGAGCUAAUCCAUUAAACCCUCUUCGAUUUUAUCUCUAUGCCCAGGUGCUUUGGGUUUUCCAACUCAGCUAGCCUGAAUUUAUACAAUCUCUCUUAAGACCUUUAAAGGCCACAUAAACUCAACAUAUAUUGAAAAUUUUUUCUAUUUUAUAUAUAUAUAUAUAUGGGCUCAAGCUCUAUGACAUUCAAUUUUCUGGACGGGUUAGCUUGGCCUUCAAUGAUAUAGUUUGAGCUUGAUCGGGGCCAUAAGUCAUAAUUUGUUUUUGGGCCCAAGCCGAGCACAGCUAAAAAAAAUGUGUAUUGGGCUUGAGCCAGGUCUAACCCAGCCCAAGCCCAAGCCCAAGCCCCGCCUAUUUGCAGCCCCGUAUAGGUAGAAAAACCAAAGAGGUGUGCGUGUGCCAAAAGAGUGUGAAAUUUAUAUGUAUGCAUGUACAUGCACGUGCAUGCACACGCACACAUAGUGUGAGAGAGAGAUGGUAUGCUCAUGUGUAAGAAAGAAAGAAAUGCAAAACGGACAUUCAAUGUGUGUACAUUCAACAACAUGAAAUAAGGGAUUGAGAUUUGGUAAAGUACUACAUAGAAAAGAAAAAAAAAUAAAAGUGCAUAUAUGCAUAUUGUAAAGUACUAUAGUAAAGCAUGGGACGAUAUGGACCAUUGUCCUCAACGAUGGGUGGUGGAGAUGAUCCAUCUCAACCCAACCAUUACAAAAGUGCAAUGAGCUUCUCGUGUCUCAUGCUUGUCGCACAGGACGCAUGCAAAUAGUAUAAAGAAACUCUAAGCAGUUAAAUAAUAGCAAUAGUAUCAUUUUAUUAUUGUUAUUAUUAUUAGGAAAAGUUGCAAUCUUAUGAUAUAGAAAUAAGGUGCAUAUAAAAAAUCCAAUAGAAAUGAGUAUUAUGAGGUUGGAAAACCCACCGGUUGAUCAUCUCGACCUCCAGAUGUAUUCAUAUUAAUAGAAUAAAGAAUUUCAAGUUUUAAAAAUAUUAUAUUUUGUAAUGAUACAACCUUUCAGUUAAUCAUCUUGACUUCAAGAUAUAUGGAUAUCAAGAUAAUAAAGAAUUUCAAAUCCUACAAAUAAUGCAUUUUGUAACACUUUAUCUAGACAGUUUCAAAAUUGUAAGUGAUUAUAGUUCUCUUCGAUCUACGCCAUUUCAAAAAUUUUAAAUUUUAUAAUUACAGUUGAACAUAAAUUUUCAAUCCGUUAUAAGGUUUUUGACAUCAAAACAGUAUCUUUUGAUAAAAUUUAUAAGGACACCUUUUAUAUAUAUAUAUAUAUAUAUAUAGUUAUACGGUUUAAAGUGGACACCUUAUACAAAGUCACAACUUACAAACCUCACCCUAUUAUUUUUGUUUGUUGUUUUCGCAAAGAAACCAUUGUAUAUAAUAAACAAUUGAAAGAGGCUCUCUCGAGUUAUGCAACAAUGAUUUCACAACACUUUUCAAAAAAAUUGGACCAAAGAAAAGGCGGGGGAAGACAGAUUCAAAAGAAAGAAAAAGGAAAGGCUAAUAAAUGUUAAAGGAGAGCGGGUAUUGCGUACUCCCGCCGGAGAAUAUGUACUCUUGCUCUCUCGGACAAAGGGCCACAAUUUUUAAAUCUUCAAUUAUGGGAUCCAUAAAUGAUACACUAUUUGCAAACUUAGAAUAAUCAAUGUUUCAUCCAGGUGAAAUUGGACUUCUAAAAUCCGGUAGAAAUCGGAGAAUCCAGUGAGGAAUGGGUCCAUGAAAACAGAAUUGAUAAAUAAAAUACUAAAAAUAUAAUGUGUGGGAAUUGAGAGAAUCUGACCGAUCCAGAUCCCCCAGCUCCUUACGGACUUACCAAGUUCCCUGACAGAACUGUGCCAAUCCACUCAAGCUUGACAUAUACCUCAUUUCGACAAGGAGCCUGGUUGUUAGUGACCAAUUAACAAUAGUUUUCGAUGAUUUGCCUUCCAGACUGGUGAGUUUUAAAUCACUAAUCAUCCAAAAAUUGGACUACCUCUAUUUCAUAUUGAAGUGCUAUACUUUUUAUGCAGAUAAACAAGAUAGUUAUUAAGACCAAAUGAGAUUGUUUGGUCCAACUGCUCAUAUCGUCACCUUAGCAAGUUUAGUCUCAAUAAAAAAUCAUAUUUACUUGAAAACUGAUCAAAACCAAUAUUUGACUAGUUUGACCAGUCGGACCAAUCAAUUUUUAUCCAUUAAAAUAACUAAAUAAAAUUGUAAAACUUUUUUGUAAUAUAUUUUAUAGCUUAAAUUUUUAUUCCAAUUUUUUUUUUGUAUGUUGCUUAACAUUUGAUUGGUUUUGACUAACCCAUAUCCUCAUUCGCUAGUCUAGGUCAAACAGGUGAAUACUUCUGGAUAAAGAGUCAAGUUCGUCGAACUAGACUAAUUCUCAGUCCCAAAAAUUAAAUGAUAAUUUCAAUUUUGAAAGUAAAAAAACUAAAAUAAUAAAAAUGGGUUGCAACCGGGCAAAUCACCCCUUUCCUGACAAACUCGCUUCAUUCUCUAUCAAAACAGGGCCUGUAGGAAUUUGACUCGAUUCCCAAUUCCGACCAUGAGGGAAGACCAUUUUUACAAAAAGGGAAAGAUAGAGGAUGAUUGAAAAUGGUUUGGCAUGGAAGGGUGUGUUCAAUCAAAAGGAGUGUAGCAUUUCAACUUGAAACAAAGAAACUUAAAUGGAAAUCAUGAGCGCAAAAUAUUGGAAAAGCAAAUGUAUAAGCAUCAACUAUGGAGUGUCAUCACCAGUGUUGGUCAAAUUCGCUUUUUUCAAAUUUUAGAGUAGACCAAAGUAAACGUAUGCGAAGCAUGGUGCUAUCACUUUGGUUAGAUUUGGGCCGCUUCAAUCAGAUUUGGGUAUCCUUUAGGUAGAUUAGGCCGAAGUUUCGGCCUCUUCGUCCUAAGCAAAGAAUUAUCUAUAUAAAAGAUUACUUUUUUUGAAAUUUUUAUUUUAAAUUUUUAUUAUUUUUAUAUAUUUUAUAUAAUAUGUAAUUUAUCUAUAUUUAAAAAAAAAAAACCGAAGUCUUCCUUCAAAUAGGCCAAAGCACCGAAUUGUUUCAUUUUUCUCACCAAGCUGAAAAAGAUUCCGAAGUGAAUUUGACAAGAUUAGUUAUCAUACAUGCUAUUAUUUAAAACGCAUGCAUCAAUUAUUUAUGGAAAAGCAUUUCAUAUAGCCAUGGUUUUAUGUGUUGUAACUCAAAUCUCUUAGGAAAAUUCAGUUUCGACACUGAAAAAGCUAGACAUCAAUCAUCUCCACUUUGACAAUCAUAUUAAAAAAGAGUAAUGAUCCUAAGAUACCCUCCCACACCUAUGUGUAUAUGAUCCUAAAAGAUCACCAUUAAAUUUGGUACAGAUAUUUAGAAAAGUCAAGUCUCACACCCAUGUGAUGGUUUUUUUAGACAUUUGUGUCAUAUUUAAUGGUGAUUCUUUGAGAUCCUACUCGCACGAGUGUGGGAGGGACUCAUAGGAUCAUUACUCAUUAAAAAAGGUGGACUUCAAGCUCUAAAAAUAAUAUAUUUUGAGCCUUCAAAAAUCUAGAUUUAGACAAAAGUGUGUGAACUUCCUUCGGCCAAGAGACUAACUUCAAGAAAUAAAUAUAUAAAUAAUCAAAAAUCAGAACUCGAUCUACAUGCGCUUGAAGAAAAUAAUGUCUCAAGAUUUGAUGAGAAACCAUCCAAUUUUUGGAGGGUGAUAUAUGGAUAUUAAACACUUCUAGAACCGCUCAUUUUCUUUUUCGAAAUUAAUCAUCAAUUCUUAAGUGGAUCCCAAAAUUUCAAAAAAAAAAAGUGUUCCCAAAUAAGUCUUUUGCCUGAGAGAGCAAGACCACAGUAUACUCCAACAAAAGCAUAAUAAACCUGCUCAUUUAUAAAUCUGAUGUCUCAAAAGCCUAGGCAACUUAUGAGUGUGUUGUGAUGAACAUUUAUGGCUUUUCCUUUUUUGUUAUACUUCAUUAGUCAAUUGCUAAACCUUGAGCACAUCUAGUACAAGACCCACUUCCAAUUAAAUUUAUCAAAGCCAUUCAUGUUAAAGAUGUAAAAUAAGAUCCCCCACAUUAGGAUUAUCUAAAUCACUUUUGUAUUCAUAAUGAAAUUAAGGGUUAGACUAACUUAGUAACUUUAGCUGGGAGAAAAGAUCAAUAAAGCUGAGAAAUGUGAGUUUUCUUAGUAUUUUUCCAUCAGAAAAAUUGAUCAGUUUGGAUGUACCCAAAUAAAUUUCCACUUGCAAGACCUCAAUGGGGGCAUUUGGAUGGUGCAUAAGUGUGAUCUAUAUGCUAGACUUAUAUAAAUGGGUGAAAAAUUAUGCCUGUACCAUAAAUAAAAUAGGAAAUUACACUGAGGUCCAAAUUUUUGUAAAAUUUAGCUUGCAUGAAUAUUGUGGAAGCCGAGCGCUAAGAGGUUUAGAAGCCCGGACAGGUCUUUAGACCGUGAAUUUCACCGUCCAGAAACCUGUAUGAGGUUCAGGACCUCAAAUUCCUUGGCUGGUGUGAACAUUAUGCAAGCCAAAACAAUCCGAGGUUCUAGACCUCAUAAUGGUAACUAGAUUAUGAAAUUCACAGUCCACGGAUUAGUACGAGGUUUUUUUUUAAAAAAAAGCCUUCAUCUAAUUUUCAGAAAAGGCAUAUCUAAGAGUUUAGGAACUCAAAUUCGGUUUUGAACUACUUAUAUAAUAUGCACCUCGAGUUUUCAAAUCGCAAUAAUCCUAAACUUAUUCUCAUAUGAUCCCCAAAACUUUAUAUCGAAAUAAUCCUAUGGAGCAGCUCUUUCACCUGAGGGAGUAAAUUUACAGAUGCUCCCGCGGGAGCACACCAUACAAGUUUAGGGCUUGCUGAUUCAAGGACGGAAAAUUUUCAUUACAGCCCGAAAGUCAUGAGCGGGAUAAAUCUAACUGCAAAAUUACCAUUUAGAAGAGCAAAAGGGUGAGAGCAAAACCAAAAAAACAAGAAAAAAACCUCUUCAAUUAUCCGAUGAAGGCAAGAUUUUGAGUCUGGUAAGACCUAAGACCUAAUUUGCUUUACUUCUUCACUGAACGCAUUUGCACGAUGAGCUAAUUUUUGCAGAUAUGUUUAGAUGCAAGUUCAAAGGUUGAAUGUUUACAGAUAUCAAAAGUGGUUUCUAGAUCACCCAAUGUGGAAAAUAAAGCAUAAAUAGUUGAAUUUCAUUUAGAAGUUGUGGAAUUUGAAUGGUGCCAAUUUUGCCAACAUUAAAGAUACUGCAAUUUUAAAGUUUGAAUGUUUAGAGAUAUAAAAAAUGGUGGUUUCGAUCACAUCAAUUGUGGAAGAUAAUAAAAUAAUUAGUUGAAAUUAUUCUGAAUUUUGUGGAAUUUGAGUUGCAGAAAUGUUUUGGGGAGAUGGGUUUUGAGGUUUUGGAUGCGGGAUGCUUGCCAAGUGUGUGAAAAAUUGUCUCCGUGAUGGUUUCCUUAAAUGGAAGGCAAAUUUUCAUGUCAAAGCAUCUCUAUAGGUGCAAUUGUACUUUGGUUAGAUAAUUGAACUCUCUCUCUCUCUAUAUAUCUCUCUCUCUAUCUCUCUCUCUCUCUCUCAAUAUAUAUAUAUGUCUGUUUGUUAAUGGAUUUGCAUGCAUUAGGCGCUUUAUUUAGCUUUUCUUGUAUCAAUGAUAUCCUUCAAGUUUUUAGUUCUUUGUCUCUCUCUGCCAUUUAUUGACUUUGCACAUUUUGGGUCUUUUAUCUCGCGCUUCCUGUUUCACUGGCAUUAAGGAGUGAAUUACUGGCCCUCUUUCUCACCCAACAUUCUGCUUAAUUGACAUGCAUAUAGUGUUUCAUCUCACUUUUGAUCUAUCGAUGGCCAGUUUAUGGUCUCUCUCUCUCUCUGCAUUUUCUUGAAUUGCAUGUUUAGGGCAUUUCUCUUGCUCCCUAUGUUUUAAAGACAUACAUGGUUUUUGAGUUCUCUCUCUCUCUCUCUCUCUCUCUUUCUUUACAUUUUAUCGAGUUUUAUUGUUUUUGGUCACUUAUCUUGCUUCUCACACUUCAAUGGAAUUCAUGGCUUUUUAGUUUUUUUUUCUCUCCUGUUAAAAUGUGUCCUCAUGAAAUGGGGGAAACUGAUUUUCUGAUGCAGUGUAGGCAAAAAUAUGAUAUUUUUCCUUUGUUAUAAGAGAGCUUCUCUAACAUUAACAGAAGGUAUCGUCAUUGAACAUGUUGUUCCUGCAUGCAAUAGGUGUGUGUGUGUGUGUGUGUGUGUGUGUGUGUGUGUGUAUGUGUGUGUGUGUGUGUGUGUGUGUGUGUGAGAGAGAGAGAGAGAGAGAGAGAGAGAGAGAGUAGUUAGUUUAGGUAGGUUAAGUUAAAGAACGUAACGUUAGUUGGUUAGGUAGUUCGUACUAGUUAGUAAGUAAGUGUAGUAGUUAACGUAGUUAGUACGUNNNNNNNNNNNNNNNNNNNNUUAAGUAGUACGUACGUACUACUUAACGUAACGUAACGUAACGUAACGUACGUUACGUUACGUAGUUACGUACGUAGUUCGUUCGUUCGUCGUCGAGUGUAGUAGUAGUGUGUGUGUGUGUGUGUGUGUGUGUGUGUGUGUGUGUGUGUGUGUGUGUGUGUGUGUGUGUGUGUGUGAGAGAGAGAGAGAGAGAGAGAGAGAGAGAGAGAGAUUUUAUUGGGGAUUUUAGAAAAGAACGAAUUUCUUGGGAGUUGGUUCACUGUUGAAAUGUGAGUUACAAUUGUAGCAUAUUUCAUUUUCUAUAGCUUGUUCCAUGUGCUUGUUUUGCAAUAUCUAAACCUGAGAUUCCACCGGUUUGUUCUCCUACUGUGAUUUGUGUUUAUUUCAGGGCUUGUCUCAAAGGGUACCAUACUAAUUGCAUCGGAAAAUUACUGGAUUGUUUGGUGGGGAACGAACAGUGAAAUUGUGGUAAAAAGAUUUUUUUUUUCCCAAUUUCGGUCUCAUGAACCAAUAUGAUCUCUAAUGAUAUCAUAGAAAUAUUGUUUGGUAGGCCAUCCUUAGAUAGGUCCACAAUUUUGCAUACAAAUAGGUCCAAGCUGCAUUCUCUAUGGUGGAAAUAACCAUGACUGCCUUUUGUAUUGGAUGAGAGUUAAUGGCUUCAGUUUCUAAGUAUGAAAAAUCCAAUACUGAUUUUUGAUCAAUUGCAAACUUGUGUUUGUAUUUUGUGAAAGCCCUUCGUCCUGCACACCCUACAAGUGGAUUCAAACUGAGCUCUUACAUUAGCGUCUCCUGCCAGUGGAGAGAGAGAGAGAGAGAUUGCAAUAUGUACUGUUUAACACCUUUGUAUCUUUAUCAAGGUUUCUGGUAGUUUUACUUUUCUUCCUGGAAGCAGUGCUAGCUCAUUCAUUUGUGAAAUUUUUUAAUGUUCGGACCAUUUUGGGGUCUUUACAUUCUUUUGUAUACUGGUCUUUUCUUUUCUAAAUAUGUUCGGACCAUUUUAGGAGUCUUUACAUUGUUUAGUAAACAUGAAUAUAUUUGUUUUCUAGGCUGGCAUAUGUACUACUUAUACAGGAGAAGUUCGAGUUUCUAGUGUUUUUACUGCCCCUUCUCUGUAUGUGAUGGCUGUUUUAAUGGGACAAACUUUGUGCCUGCCAAGAAAAAAAGAGGGUUUUGUGAUUACUGCCUAAAGCUUGCUCUUAUGAUAGAAGAAAACUUAGAUGCUGACUCCGGUGGGGUAUGUUAUCUCAUGAACUCUGGCUCUAUUCAGUACUUUGUUUGUGCUACAUGUAUGUUUUGUUAGUUUCUGUCUUUGUGAUGUGGGGAUCGAUACCACUUUUCCUUCUCAUCUAGAGUGAAAAUGAACUUGAUUUUUAGCUGGUGUAUUAAUAAUUUUGGCCUUUAUCUAGAUUUCAUUUGGUCAAUUGUAAUAUUUCAUAAUAAAUUCUCAUGCUCUGUAUUACUUCGAUUAAUGCAAAAAAAGUCAAAGAAUACUUUUUCUCAGUGUAUAUUUGAUAUGUUUAUAUCUACCUUGGAAAACUCAAAUAUCUAUAUGUAUUGUAUGGGGAUAGGUAGAAAAGUUUUCAUAGGAGAAUUUAUGCUAUUGAAUAUUUUGUUAACCAGUUCCUUAGGUAACGAGGGCAUCACAUUUCAUUUUGACCCCCUGGGAUAAUAGGUCACAGAUGAAUUGGAUGGUUAUAAUGAGCUUGCCUUUAGUUCUCAAAAACUUACAAGAGCUGUGAAUCUCGCAACCCAAAUAGUGAGUUCGAACCUUUGCAUUUGUGGUCCUGGAGAACUAAUACUGCCAAAAUUGUAACCCUGACCUGCAUUAUGGAAGUAUGAUUCUAGUACCCUAAAUUAUAAUCUUCAUAAACCAAAAUUGAGACUCCCCAGAUAUUAAUUUGUGACUAGUGUCUGCCAUGAUUGAUGAUGUAAGCAAUGAAUGGUGGGUUGAUCAAGGGAUUCCAAAUCCUAUUGGGCCUGGAAAUGGUUGAUGGACGAGUGGUGCUUGAUUUUCAGUUUGCAUAUGACACGAGCCUUUUCUUCCUAAGGGUUUGUGUUAAGCUGCGUUAGUCUCAUGGCUGAGGAUAGACUUGAGAAGAGCUUGGUGAUGGGUUUACAGGGUGGAACUGGCACUCACUGCAUUCAGAAAAAAAUGGCAACUCAUUCAAAACUAUUAGACAAGCAGGGAGCACUUAAAGUUGUACCAUUGCACCAAUUGUGAAUGAUUUUUUAAUAGAGCAAGAUCUUGGACUAGUUGCAGGGACAUAACUCCAUUGAUGUUAUUCAUCUCUGCAUCUAAUGAGGGGUCCUUGAUGGACCCAUCCUCUAUUGGUUAUGAAUAGUUGUUUGUCACAAGGAGGCUCAAUAAGUUCAUAUACAUGUCAUUUUAGAACAGUUGUAUCAGCAUAGCACAGGAAUCUUCUGUCUAAGGCGGUAGUCCUACUCCUGGAUCAUGGUUCUGUGGUUCAUAAGAGGGACCAUGUUCAUUCUCUAGGGAACACAUUCCUUGAACUCUUUCCUUCGAUGAUGUCAAGGAAGAGCCCAUUCUCUCUUUUGGUGAGCUCUACUGUGGGGCUUACAGGAUGCACCAUAAGGUAAAUUUUGGGUUUUAAAGAAGAGGGAACAUUUUUAUUUGUGACCAAAUUUGAGGGAGAACCUGAGCAUUGCAAUUUUUUCAAUCAUCAUAAUCAUCAUCCAUGCCUUAUCCCAAUGAUUUGGGGUCGGUUCUCAUGAUAAGAUGUCGCAAAGUUUUACAAUGGCUGCCUAGCUUACGCAACCCACCUCCUUUACCCGAGCCCAUGAUUGGUUAAGGGAAAGUUUAAGGUCCUCACCCUUUUUUGAUCGUUUAAUUUAUUUCUAUUUAUAUUAUUCUAUUUAUUGUAUGGACGCUCCCAUGGCACUCCCAGUUUGGAAACUUUUAACAAGCAACAAUCCCCAGUCCCCCCUCCUGCCUACCAUUGUACGGGCUGAUUCACCUGGUCCAUGGUGAACCAAUGACUCCCAUUUUGUUAUUUAUGGACCCCUUUUUGUUUUCUAAUUUUUUUCAUUUCUUGGCACCUCCUUUCAGGAAUCUUAGGCGCGCGUGUGCAAUAUACAAUGGAAUUGGCUAUUAAUAUUGGCAAGUCAAACUUGUCUUUCUUUUUCAUGACGUAAUUGUCAAACAAAUCUUUCUUUUAGCUCUGUAUGUGAAACUAAUCAACUUCUCUCUCUCUCUCUCNNNNNNNNNNNNNNNNNNNNNNNNNNNNNNNNNNNNNNNNNNNNNNNNNNNNNNNNNNNNNNNNNNNNNNNNNNNNNNNNNNNNNNNNNNNNNNNNNNNNNNNNNNNNNNNNNNNNNNNNNNNNNNNNNNNNNNNNNNNNNNNNNNNNNNNNNNNNNNNNNNNNNNNNNNNNNNNNNNNNNNNNNNNNNNNNNNNNNNNNNNNNNNNNNNNNNNNNNNNNNNNNNNNNNNNNNNNNNNNNNNNNNNNNNNNNNNNNNNNNNNNNNNNNNNNNNNNNNNNNNNNNNNNNNNNNNNNNNNNNNNNNNNNNNNNNNNNNNNNNNNNNNNNNNNCUACUACUACUCUCUCUCUCUCUCUCUCUCUCUCUCUCUCUCUCUCUCUCUCUCUCUCUCGCUCUCUUUAUCUCUCUCUCUCUCUCUCUCUCUCUCUCCAUUUGCCUUUUUAAAAGCCCUCUUUUAUUUCAUUCAUUCUUUCAUCUUUUCAAACUUCAGACUUCUAUGUAAAAUUUCUUCUUUUUCACCUGAGGUUUCAAUUUUUCCUUUUUCGAUAAAAAAAGGGGGCCCAACCAGCUUGAACAUCAUUCCAAUUGCGAAAGACUGUACCCGACACUCAAUGUGCAAUCUUCUGAUUGCAAUACUAUUGCAGCCCUGAGUAAGAACAUGCUGUCUGGUUCUCAUAAAUCGUUUCCAGACCUGAGUAAAAAUGUUUUACAUGAGUGGCUAAGUAUUCAACGAUCCAUUUUUUUUAUAAGUAGCUUUGUUUCGUUGCUUGUUUAGAAUUCCACUUUCCAUUCCUGACAAUAAAAUUUAGACGAUUUUUAUUCCGUCCAUUCGGAUGUUUCUGGCCCUUCUCUUAUCCUCCGAGAGUCAGGAUCAAGCUAUUAUGGAAAUUUUUCUGAUGAUUACACUAUAGAUGGGUUUAUUUUUUAAGUGGAUGUUUGAAGUCUGUGAUGUAUUUGUUGCUUUUAUUGAAAUGGCUGAAAUUCAGUUUGAAGAAUCUAUGAAAGUAAUGCAUACUAAUUCUAGUGGUAAUUAUAUUGCAUGAUAGAUUAGGUUACAUUAUGAGUAUGUCCCUGAUUAAAAUGGUAAAACACAAGACAAACAUGGACAUAUCAUAUAAACUACAUGUUCCUGACUUUUGCCAUUCCGUGUUUGAAGUAGUUUGUGGGCCAGAGUGGGUUUACGUAAUUGAAGGAAUUUCAAUAGUUAUUUACCUGAUUAUGCUCGUCUUUAUGUUUUUGGAUGUCAAUUGUUUGUUGUAUCCCAUAACGUAGAAGGUCGUUGCUUUUCAGUCAAUUAAUUGCUUAUCUAUUGACUAUUUAAUGGAUCGAAACUGUUAUGGUUGCUAUCCAGAACAUUAUAAAAAAUUUCCAUGUCAUGUGCACUUUCCGGAAUUAGUUUUCUACUUUGAAUUCUAUUGUUCUUGUGAUGGCUAGGUUUUUUCCUUAUUGCCUAUGUCUGCUAAAAUAGAUGACAAAAGUGCUACCUUACUGUUAAAUAGGUACUCACAAUUUACAUAUGUAAAAUGGAAUGUACACAAAGUAUAUGAACAACUGUGGAGCAAUUGUACUUUGGUUAGAUAGUUGAUCUCUCUCUAUCUCUCUUUCUCUCUCUCUCUCUCUCUCUAUCUCUCUCUCUCCAUGAACCUAUGCACCGCAUCCGGCAAGCGCAUGCGCGCCUCAUCGUGUCUGGCAGUGCAUCCAACCCCUCCCACAUCGGCCACCUCCUUGCCUCCUUUCCCCCCUCCCCUCCCUUCUCCUACCCUCUCUCCAUCCUUUUCUCUCUACCCCAGCCCACUCCCUUCCCCUUCAACUCCCUGCUCUCUCUCCUCACACCUCCCCUCUCUCUCCUUCUCUAUUCUCUCAUGCUCCGCCGCCUCGUCGUUCCCAACCGCUUCACUUUCCCUCUCCUCCUUCGCUCAUGUGGCCGCCUUUCCAACCUCUCCCCUAUUCGGCAACUCCAUGGCCAUGUUCUCAUUCUCGGCCUCAGUUCAGAUUCCUACGUCGCAAAUUCUCUCCUCCACCUUUAUGCCACUCGAAAUGAGAUUGAAAAUGCUCAACUGGUUUUCAAUAGAGACCCCAACCCAGACACUGUGUCCUAUAACACCAUCCUCUUUGCAUACGCGAACUUUGGCAUGCUCGUCGAGGCCUGCAAUUUCUUUGACACAAUUCCAACAAAGGAUUCCAUCACCUGGAGCACAAUGCUAACUGGAUAUGUGAAACAUGAGUAUUUCACUCAGGCUUUGAACUUGUUUCGAGAUAUGGCACGACAGAGUCGAGCAUUGAUCACUGAGGGAAUGCUCGUCUCCGUGUUGACGAUUUCCGCUAAGCUCGAGGCACUGGAAUUCACCCACUUGGCCCACGAGUAUAUCAAUCGGCAGGGCUUCCCCUUGACUCCCAGUCUAGGGACUGCUCUCCUGCAGGCGUAUGCCACGUGUGGCUGUGUGGGUCCUGCAUCAGAGGUUUUUGGGGCCAUGCAGACUCGCGACCCACCUGCAUGGAACGCGAUGAUAUGUGCAUGUGCCAGGCACGGGCUAGGGGCAUGCGUGUUGAGCCUAUUCAAACAGUUCAUCCUGCAUGGGUUGGAGCCUGAGGGGGCCACACUAGUGGGCGUACUGCACGCCUGCGCUCACAGUGGCCUCGUGAGGCUCGGCAUGCACUACUUCAGGGCCAUGACUGUGGACUACCAUCUGGAGCCUGAGAUGGAACACUAUGGAUGCAUAGUUGACCUAUUGGCUCGAGCCGGGCUCCUGGAGGAGGCCAAAAUGGUCAUUUAUAAGAUGCCAUUCGAGCCGGACACCGCAAUAUGGGGCUCGUUGCUGAGCGCGUGCGGGACCCACGGGUGGACCGAACUAGGCAUAAAAUUGGGAAAUUUUCUCAUCGAGAUCGAGCCGGAGCACGAUGGUCACUAUGUAAUGCUGGCUGGGCUCUAUGCUCAGUGUGGGAGGUGGGAAGAGGCUUCACACGUAAGAAGGUUUAUGGAUGAAUGUGGAACUAAGAAAAAGACGGGGGUUAGCUUGGUACAUACCAAUAUCAAGAGUUUGCUGCUAUGAAGCUACAUGGCCAAGAUGUUAAGUGUGGUGUGACUCGAACUCGCCCGGUCAAACCCAAGGAUCAGCAGCCAAGUGAUUUCAAACGAAAAUACCAUAGAAUAUCCUGAGUCUCAAUUUUUCAUAUUUUUGAAAUUCUGUAUUAGAAAUUCUUUGAUCGAACUUGAGCUCAUCUGAGUUGGAACAGUGGCACAUUCGGGCUCGAGCCCUCCAAGUUAGAGGCUGAGUGCGACUUUUUAAUCUCUGGCUUGAUGGGGAUUGACCACAAAGCUAUUAAGGAGGAUCAUCAUCUUCUUUUUCAUCAUCCAAGCCUUAUUGCAACUAUUUGAGGUCGGUUACACGAGUCCUGCUCUUUCAUUCCGCUCUAUCGUUCCCUUGAUACAAAGCUAGUAGGGUGCACCAUGUAGCUAAAUGAGUCUCUUGAGCUCCCUUGACUUCAUUCUUUCUUCUGGUAAUAAUUAAACAUCUUGUAUUAUUUAUUUAUUGCAAAGACUUAUAGAAUUGGAAGCGUCCCCCUUGAUUUCAAAUAUUGCCAUUUCCCCAUAAAAAUGGCUCUACUUUUAAAUUUCUUUUGGUGGGUAAGGUAGGAUCUAAAUAAUGGCCAUUCGUGUGCUAGUUCCUAGUCCCUGUUACCUGACUUUGCAACAUACGUUUCUUGUUCUUCUUUUUUUUUUUUGUCAUAAAAAUGUUUUGCAAAUAAAGAGUAGCCAUUAAUUUUUAAAAUGAAUUUAUGGAUUUGUAAAGGUUACAUAUUACGUGCUCCUGUGGGAGCAAAUUGGAUACUUAUUCCAGCAAGCAAAAUGGCCCGUUUGCCGGGUUUUCUUGAUGCGAAAGUCCGUGAAAUAUCUGUGAUUUAUAAUUUUAAAACAAAGUUUUUAAGUUCUUAAAAACCUAGAUUUGACCUCCUAUUGAUGAGGGAUUUGAGUUCGUUGUUGGAGUGAAGUUUUAUUUGGAUAAUUUUUGUGGCGCAAAAUUAUUUCCUUUGUUGAAGAAUUUAUUAGUGAGAUGAACAAGAUCUAAAGCGGCAAUGUAGGUGCAGAAUUUGCUCCUAUGGGAGCACCAAUACUUUUCUUGGUAUCUGUAUUUUAUAAAGCCGUUUACUUUCUGUGCAAGGAGGUCACUAAGUACUUUAAAUGUGAAAUCUGACGGGUCGGAAUAGGUAAGAAGUAUGAGAAAUUUCAGUUUUGGACCUUCUGCCCGAUCAAUAGCACAAAUAAGUUUUAAAUUUUAUGGUCAACCUUAAUUGUGACCUCGUUACACUAAAAGUAAAUAGUCAUAUUGUACACUUUUCUUUAUCUUUUUACUUUAAAUUUCUAAUAUUCAUUUUUAUACCAUCUUUUAAUAGGAAAGGGUGGUACAUAACCUGCAUAAUGAAGUUGAAUUUCAUUUAAAAGCAAAUAAAAUUUACUAGCACCUCUAUAUUAUAUAGCUCAGCAGUUGCCAUUAGAAGUUUUUUCUUUGUAAAACUCGUUUUUAAAUAUGGGUGUGGUUUGUAUAAGGUUGCAACCUUAAAUAAUGUACAUUUCUCAAUUUUAUCAUAAACAUAAUUUUGGUGUAAAAAAUUCUUAGAUGGCUUGAGAAUCUAUUUCAUCUCUAAUUAUAAAAUAUUAAACUUCAAAAAUGGUUCAAAUCAAGUAGAUCUAUCAACCCUUGAAAAGUUUGAAAAUGGUAGGUUUAGAUGAUGUGUUGCAAGAUACAUUAUUUUUAGGAUUCGAAAUCUUCUUUUUUUUUUUUUUUUCAUAUUCAUACAUCUCGAUGUUGAGAUGAUCAAUUUGAGAGGUUUCCAACAUCAAAACAACCUUCUGUGAUAUGUUUUUGAGGUACACCUUAAUUCCACAUUUUAAGUUUGCAACCUUUUAUGAACUUUUUUCCUUUGAAUAAAGUCAUUUAUGAUUACUUUGUCACUUUGUGGUGGUAUGAAGCUAUUGAAGAGUAAAGCGCAAACCUCAAGAACUAAGUAAUGUGGAGAGGGCGGUUAUCACCAAACAGGGUACUAUCUUAAGGAGGAUUUUAAAAAAUGCCAACUUCAAUCGGAAUCACCUAAUCUAGAUUGCGAAUUGUUGGUACCAUUCUAAUUCUCACCAUGUAUUGUGAACUGUCUAGUUGCUCCUAGGAAUUUUUGUCAGAGUACCGGCCGGCCUUACCUUUUGUCUUUUAUAAUUUUUAAAUUUUUUAACUUUUUUUCUAUUCUUCAAUUUUUUUAAUGGCCAGUUCACUCUAUUGGAUCACUAAUCCAGACUAAUUUUUCGGAUGGGGGAUCUAGGUCACUGAUCUGUUUUUUUAAACACGGAUCCUGAUAUAUUCUAAAAAUAUAUAUCUACACAUGGAGUAAAAUGAAUAUGCCAUUUUUCCUUAUCCGUUUUAUCUCUUCCCUUUCAAUCUUGUCUAUCUGGCCUACGGGCAUGAUGCCAAUAGAAUCAUUUUCUUUAUAAAAUUGAUCACUUAAGAAUGUUAGAUCUAUGCUUGCAGCAUGGUUUUAACAUUUUGUUAAUUUAUUUGUCUUUUUUUUUUAUUUUGGGGCUUUUGUCCCAUCCAUACUUUGUGCUUUCAUUUUUCUCAAUGAAAUCUUGGUUCAAAUUUUUUUCUAAGGAACAAAAAAAAACUUGAAGAUGAUAUAUAAUAUUAAACUUAUACCUCUAUUGUAUCUGAUCUACAAUUAUAUAAGAAGGAAAAGUGUUUGGCGAGUCAGAAAACGCAUGCGUCCCUCGAAUCUUCAAUUUAAGAUAGUUUACACAAAUUAUUUUUUAAAAAAAAUUGAUUUUUUUAUUUUUUUUCCAACUUCUCCAUCAUUAUGGUUGUGAUUAGCAUAGAUCUAAAAUCCAUCUUUAUGAUAAACUUUAGAAAGGAAAAUAUUUUAAUAGGGUUGUAGCCCUCCCCUAAAAACUCACCAAAAAUCAUAAUUCUAGUGUUGGAAAACUUUUAAAUUGAUCAUCUUGGGCUUGACUAUCAUGAUUGUGAAAAAGAAAUCGGAUUUCAAGUCCUAAAAAUAAUAUAUAUCAUAAUACAUUGUCUAGACUACCUAUUUCGCCCUAAAAAUAAGUAUUUAUAGAUCUACAAGAUCUGUACUAUUUUUUGAGCUUCAAAUUUCAUAGUCAGUGUUGGAAGUUUAUUUUAAAUCCACCAUGGAGAUUUCAAUGCCCAAAGUACUUUCCGAACAAAGAUUCAAGAUAAGGCUUUAUUUUGUUUUAAACUUUUAAUAAAACUUAAGCUUUUUAGAAAUUACAUCUUUUUAGAAAAAGACACAUCAUUAUCAUCAUUUCAACUUUUUUUUUCAAUUAAUUACGGUUAGCUACAUGAAUCCCAUUCUACUCUAUUAAAUACCUUAUUCUCAAUGAGGCCACAAGUCCCCCUAUCUUUUGAGAGAGAGAAGGACACACUUGAAUAAAUGAAUUCAUGGGUUCACCAAAAACCAAUCCCUAUAUGAAAGCGUUGGCACGUGACAUCACAGCCGCACAAUUAUUUUGUGAGCAAUUUGCAUGUGAAGCCUUCACAUUGAAAGCUCAUCUCCACCAUCCAAACCUUUCAAAUUUGAUAAUAAUAUAGGAAAGUCCUAACGAGGUUUAAUCAUCAAUUAACCCUAAAAAGGUUUUAAAAAGAAAAAAAGUCACCCGGUUUCUAUGUGGCCAAGCCCGCAAGUGUAGAAAUGCGGGCUUCUUAAUAAAUAUAUUUUUAAGACGGAUUUUAAGAGUUAAUUUUUAAGUAGAUGUAAUAUCUAAUAUGGAGAUUAUGAAUACAAAAAAAUAAAUUUAAAAAAUUUAAAAUAAUAAUUUUAGUAAAAAAACAUUUGGACCAUUAGCUUUCCUUGCUUGUAAAUGGAACACCUACUUGCAUCCAUCUUGUUUCAAGAUUAAAAAGAAAAAGGGGUCGAAAGAAAAAAAAACUCUUUUUUUAAAAAACAUUUUGCCCUUUCCACUUCAUUGAAGUGCCGACUUUCAUUAGUAGUUGAGGGGGGGAGCAAGCACAAAUAGAGUACUGCAACUGCCUCUCUCUCUCUAACUGUCUACUGUUUAUAUUAUAAGCUUUAUAAGAACAUGUUUCUUUCUCUCUCCAUUACUGGGGGUGAUUUGAUUUCCUCAUCUCUCUCCAUUACUGGGGUGAUUUUCUUCUCUCUCUAUUACUGGGGUGCUUAGAGUUUACUGUUUAGUAAAGGAAAGGGGGAAAUGACGAAGGUGAAGAAGAGAAAGGAAGAGAUUGCAGAGGAUGUCUGCUUCCUCUGCAAAGAUGGUGGGGUGCUCUUAGUUUGUGACUACUCGUGAGUAGCCCCCCCUGUCCUCUCUCUCUCUACAAUUUGUCGAAAUUAAAGCGUUCUCUCUUUCUCUCUCUACAUUUGUUGGAAUUCUCUCUACAGUUUGUUCAAAUUAACGCCUUCAAUCUCUCUCUCUCUCUCUACAUUGUAUAUUGUUUGCAUGUUGUGGUUCCUUUAUCUCGCUCUUCUAGUUUCAAUGGAAUCAUUGGUUCUUCUCUCUCUCUCUCUCUGUUAAUGGAAUUGCAUGCAUUGGGUGCUUUAUCUAGCUUUCCUGUAUCAAUGGUAUCCUUCUAAUUUUGGGUUCGUUUGUUCUCUCUCUCUCUCUCUCUCUCUCUCUCUCUCUCUGCGAUUUAUUGAUUUUGCAUGUUUUGGGUCUUUUAUGUUGCGCUUCCUGUUUCACUGGCAUCAUGGGGUUGGGUACUUUCUCUCUCUAAAAAUUAUUGAACAUUAAGCUUUUUUCUUAGAAUCUCGCCCUCUUUCUAACCCACCAUUCUACUGAAUUCGCAUGCAUAUAGUGCUUCAUCUCACUUUUGAUGUAUCGAUGACCAGUUUUUGGUCUCUCUCUCUCUCUACAUUUUAUUGACUUUUAUUUUUUUUUGGGUUACUUAUCUUGCUUCUCACGCUUCAAUGGCAUUCAUGGCUUUUUAGUAUAUUCUUCUCUCCUAUUAAAAUGUGUCCACAUGAAAUGGGGGAAACUGAUUUUCUGAUGCAGGGUGGGCGAAAAUAUGAUGUUUUCCCAUUGUUAUAUUAUAGCUUCUCCAACAUUAACAGAAAGUAUCUUCAUUGAACAUGUUGUUCCAUGUGUGUGUGUGUGUGUGUGAGAGAGAGAGAGAGAGAGAGAGAGAGAUUUUAUUGGGGAUUUUAGAAAAGAAUGAAUGUCGUGGGAGUUGGUGAUGAUCAAAAUGUGAGUUACCAAUUAUAGCAUAUUGCAUUUCCUAUAGCUUGUUCCAUGUGCUUGUUUUGCAAUAUAAACCUGAGAUUCCACAGGUCUGUUCUCCAACUGUGAUUCGUGUUUAUUUCAGGGCUUGUCUCAAAGGGUACCAUACUAAUUGCGUCGGAAAAUCACCGGAUUUUUUGGAGGGGAAUGAACAGUGGCAUUGUGGUAAAAUGAUUUUCUUUUCUUUUUUCUUCCCCAAUUUCAGUCUCAUGAACCCAUAUGAUCUCUAGUGCUAUCAUAGAAAUUUUGUUUGGUAGGCCAUCCUUGUAUAGGUCCACAAUUUUGCAUACAAAUAGGUCCAGGCUGCGUUCUCUAUGGUGGAAAUAACAUGACUGCCUUUUGUGUUGGAUGAGACUUAAUUGCUUCAGUUUCAGUAGAAAUCUCCAAAUUAGUGUUUCUAUUUAAGUAUGUUGAUUUUUAUAAAUAGCAAACUUGUGUUUGUACUUUGUGAAACCCUUUUUCCUGCAAAGCCUACACUCUCUGUCAUUCAUUUGCCUGCGGGAGCUGCACUGUAAGGGGUGUCGAUUCAAACUGAGCUCUUAAAUUAGCUUCUCCUGCAAGUAGGUAGAGGGAGAGGAAGCGAGAGAGAGAGAGAGAGAGAGAGAGAGAGAGAGAGAGGGAGAGCGAGAGAGAUUGCAGGAUGUACUGUUUAACAUUCUUUUUAACUUUUUCAAGGUUGCUGCUAAUUUUAGUUUUCUUCCUGAAACCAGUGCUAGUUGUUUCAUUUGUGAAAACCUGUUUUAUUUGGGUUUUCCUUUUUAUAUAUUGUUUCUUUUCUAAAAUAUUUAACGUCUGGACCAUUUUGUACACUGUUUAGUAAACAUGCAUAUAUUUGUUUUCUAGGCUGGCAUUUCUGCUACUUAUGCAAGAGAAGUUCGAGUUUCCAAUGUUUUUGCUGCCCCUUUUCUGUAUGUGAUGGCUGUUUUAACGAGACAAACUUUGUGCCUGUCAAGAAAAAAAGAGGGUUUUGUGAUUACUGCCUAAAGCUUGCUCUUAUGAUAGAAGAAGACUUAGACGCUGACUCAGAUGGGGUACGUUGUCUCAUGAACUCUGGCUUUAUUCAGUACUUUGUUUGUGCUGCAUGUAUGUUUUGUUAGUUUCUGUCUUUGUGAUACAGGGAUUGAUACCAUUUUACCUUCUCAUCUAGAGUGAAAAUGAACUUGUUUUUCAGCAGGUGGAUUGAUAAUUUUGGCCUUUAUCUAGAAUUAAUUUGAUCAAUUGGCCCUUAAAAUUUGAUGACCUGGCCUAUAAUAUUUCAUAAUAAAUUCUCAUGCUCUGUAUUUCUUCAAUUAACGCAAAAAAAAAAAAACAGAGUCAAAGAUUACUAUUUUGCAGUGUAUAUUUGAUAUGUUUAUAUAUGCCUUGGAAAACUUAAGUAUCUAUAUGUAUUGUAUGGGGAUAAGUAGGAAAGUUUGCAUAGGAUAAUUUAUGCUAUUGAGUGUUAUGUUAACCAGUCCCUUAGGUAAUGAGGGCAUCACACUUCAGUUUGACCCCCUGGGAUAAUGGGUCACAAAUGAAUUGGAUGGUUAGAAUGAGCUUCCCUUUAGUUCUCGAAAAUUUACAGGAGCAGUGAAUCUCGCAACCCAAUAGUGAGUUCGAACCUUUGCAUUUGUGGUCCUGGUGACCCAAUCCUGCCAAAAUUGUAACCCUGACCCUCAUUAUGGAAGUAAACAUAAACAUUCAGUCAUGGUUCUAAUAACCUAAAUUACAAUCUUCAUAAACCAAAAUUGAGACUCCCCUGAUAUUAAUUUGUGACUAGUGUCUGCCAUGAUUGAUGAUGUAAGUAAUGAAUGGUAGGUUGAUCAAGGGAUUCAAAAUCUUAUUGGGCCUGGAAAUGGUUGAUGAACCAGUGGUGCUUGAUGACAUGAGCCUUUUCUUCCUAAUGGUUUGUGUUAAGCUAUGUUAGUCUCAUGGCUGAGGAUAGAUAGACUUGAGAAGAGCUCAUUCAAAACUAUUAGAGAAGCAGGGAGCGCUUAAAGUUGUACCAUUGCACUAAUUGUGAACAAUUUUUUAGCUAGAGGAAGAUCUUGGACUAGUUGCAGGGGCAUAACUCCAUUAAUGGUAUUCAUCUCUGCAUCUAAUCAGGGAGCCUUGAUGGACCCAUCCUCUAUUGGUUAUGAAUAGUUGUUUGUCACAAGAAGGCUCAAUAAGUUCAUAUACACGUCAUUUUAGAACAGUUGUAUCAGUAUAGUACAGGGAUCUUCUGUCUAAGUUGGCACUCCUACUCCUGGACCACGGUUCUGCAGUUCAGAAGAGGGAACGUGUUCCCAUUCUCUUAGGAACACAUUCCUUGAAAUCUUUCCUCCGAUGUUGUCAAGAAAGAGCCGCCUCUCUCUUUUGGUGAGCUCUACUGGGGGCUUACAGAAUGCACCAUAAGGUAAAUUUUGGGUUUUAAAGAAGAGGGAACAUUUUCAUUUGAGACCAAAUUUGAGGGAGAAACUAAGCAUCACAAUUUUUUCAAUCAUCAUAAUUCCGAUGAUUUGGGGUCGGCUAUCAUAAUAAGAUGUGGCAAAGUUUUAUGUUGGCUACCUACUUAAUGCAACCCACCUCCUUUCCUCGAGCCCAGGACAGGUUAAGGGAAAGUUUAAGGUCCUCACCUUUUUUCGAUCGUUUAAUUUUUUCUAUUUUAUUCUUUUUAUUGUAUGGAUUCUUCCAUGGCGCUCCCAGUUUGGAAACUUUUAGCAACCAACAAUCCCUAGUUCCUGCUCCUGCCUACCAUUGCACCGGCUGAUUCACCCAGUCCAUGGUGAACGAAUCACUCCCAUUUUGUCAUGGAAAAUUGUUUCAUGCGGGUUGGACCGCAUUUCUACAUAUGUGGUCCAGAGGUAUAAAGCAUCCUUCUUAAAGAUGGAUGUGCAAAUAGGUGGUCCAUCUAAAAACAAUUGAAACUAACGAUCCAAAUGUUUUCUUAAUAGAAUUAUUAUUUCUAAUUUUCAAAUUUUAUUUAUUUUUUCAUAUUCAUGAUCUUCAUGUUAGAGAUUACAUGUCGUUAAAAAUUAAGUCCAAAAAUCUAUCUCAAAAAUAGAUUUUUAAGCGGUGCCUCAUUUCUUCAUGGACUCAUAGAAACCGCCGGGUCCUUUUGUCAUUUAUGGCCCUUUUUGUUUUUUAAUUGUUUUUCCUUUCGUGGCAUCUCCUUUUUAGGAAUCUUAUGCGCGUGCGUGCAAUAUACAAUGGAUUGGCUAUUAAUCUUGACAAAGCAAACUUAUCUUUCUCAUGACAUAAUUGUCCAACAAAUCUUUCUUUUAGCUCUGUAUGUCAAACCAAUCUAUUUUUCUCUCUCCAUAUCAGUUGAACAACUCUAUAAUUGCCUUAUUAUUUCCCUUCUCUCCCUUUCUCUCCCCACCUCUCUCUCUCUCUCUCUCUCACUCUCUCUUCU